Molecule: long non-coding RNA, 61744 nt
Filed under: Daucus carota (carrot)
Lineage: Eukaryota; Viridiplantae; Streptophyta; Magnoliopsida; Apiales; Apiaceae
Description: long non-coding RNA (DCAR_LNC003967)
Source: RNAcentral
UUUUUUUUUUUUUUUGAGCCAGGGUCGAACCCAAAACCUGGGACGACAGAAGAUAAACUUCAAACCACUUGAGCUAUUCACAUUUAGUUAGGCUUAAAUUAGGUUAGAGGACGCACACGAAUAUGAAAAAUGCCAACCUUCCAUGUUGAGUUGAAUAUAUUGAGAAAUCAUUAGAGAAUAUCUACUAAUAAUAAUUAUCCAAAAGAAAUAUAUUUUCUUUUUUUCAUCCUGCCAGAAAAAAAUUUAGACAUAUAUUGCCUUAACCACAAUGGGACUCCUCACAAAGUGCUUACCAUCUGACCAUAUCAGCUUUCCAAACACAUAAUCCUUAGCUGCAUUUCUCUGUUUGAUCUUCAAUGUCAGUUCAAAACUCUUCUCUUCACCUACCCUCUCAAAUCUCAUGCUAUGUGGUUCAACUGAAGCUGUUAUUCCAGGUGGCCUAAUUACACGUGCUUUGUACGUACCUGGUGAACCUACAUUCUUAACUGUUCUAGUCACUGUGAUCGAGCCAUUGAGGUUCGGGACAGUGAUGGAAGGAUAAUUGAAGUCUGUCAGACUAAUUUGUUUCGGGCAAGUAUAAGGCUCCUCUGAAAAUAGUGUGAUCUGGCUUUGGUUGUAAUGAAGGGAACAUAGAAAUGUGAGGUAAUCGUUUACAGUUAAGUCGUAAACCAGUCCAGGAUCCAUAGCGCGGUUUGGUUCCACGUGUCCUGCUCCAUAGGAGAACGGCGUUGCCUUUAAGUGGGAUACAUUGGUCAUUGCAUGUAUAGUGUUAUCUUGUGUUCUUGCUGAAAAUUUAAGAAUUUAUUAGCAAAACACAGGAGAAAAACAACAGCACAUUGCAACAAGUACUAGGUUAUGCUUACCGGUUGUCAUGAUUGCAGAUUUGAUUGCAGCAGGACUCCAUGUCGGAUAAAUGGUUUUUAGCAGGCCAGCGAUGCCAGACACAUGAGGACAUGACAUGGAAGUGCCUGACAUUGCAUUGAAAACAACUUGGCUCUUGUCAAAUUGCGGAUCUUGAAACGGUCUGUAGGCAGCUAUUAUGCUCACUCCUGGUGCAGUGAUGUCAGGCUGAUCACAUUUAUUAAAGAUUAUAUAGUUAGAUUGAGAUAGUAAUCAGAAUUCAGAACAAUAGUAAAAUUUACUGUAAUAAUUAACUAUGCUAACAAAACCUUGAGGAUCUCUGGAGUUACAGGGUUUGGUCCAGCUGAUGAAAAAACAGCCAUUAGGGGAGCUGGUUUGAUACCCAAUUGAGUUGUUGGACGGGUUAAGUAAGCCACUGGAGACCUGUUGAAUGUCGGAUAAAGUUCAGAACAGGAUAGCAUGUCUGUACCCGUAAAAUUGUAUAAAUCAAAUAAUUAUUAGUUUUGAUACUUGGUUGAAUGGAUGUAUUGGUAGACCGCAAGGCCAUCAGAGUAUGUGAUAUGUGAGACAGGUAGCACGUGAGGAUCAGCGACAAUUUCAUUUCCAGUAAGGUCAUUGUUAGCAAGAAUCAUUCCCAGGGCACCUGCUGAAAGAGCUUGUUUGCCCUUGUCAACCCUCCCAUUAUCACCUCGAAGACACACCAAUAUUUUUCCCUUCACUUCACUAGAAUCCAGGGAUCCAGAUUUACAAUGCUCACUGAAGGAAUUGAAAAGAUCACCAAAGGUGCUGUUACAUUAGCUUAACUUGUACGCAUCAAGCAUUAUUAGAAUCAAAAUACCAAUAGCUUGGGGUCCUUACGCGUCUUCUUCAGAUGCAUAUGAUGCUUUGGCAUCUUUAGAUAGAAUAACUGGAUAGAACUCCUUGCUUGGCAAUGCAUCUAUUGAAAGGCUUUCCCCCUAAAAUAUGAGAAUUGUUAGAUCAGCUUUUGCUCUAAAAUGAGAUACAGUUUAUGAAAUUAUGUGACCAAGAUUAGACAACUAACCUUGAUCUGCAUCUUGUUGCCAAGACUGACAUAACUAGGAAACUGGCGAUCCAUGGUGCUGGCUCCAACCGUAAAUUGCCAUGGUGAUACAUUUGCAACAGUACCAGCAUCUGGUCCAGAGUUUCCAGCUGAACAGACCACAAAUAUACCAUGCUUCACAGCAUGAAAAGAACCAAUGGCAACACUAUCAUUAAAAAACCCAACAGCAUCAUUUCCCAGUGAAACAGACAACACGUCUACACCAUCGUCAAUAGCAACAUCAAACGCAGCUAAUAUAUCUGCAUCACAGCAUUCAUUAUCACCCUUGGGGGGCCAGCAAACUUUGUAGGCAGCCACUCGUGCUUUUGGUGAUCCACCUUUUGCUGUCCCAUUGCCAAAACCAAAAACAUUUGCCCCAGGCACAAAACUUCCACCAGCUGUUGAUAAGGUAUGUGAUCCAUGUCCUCCAGUAUCACGUGGUGAGUCGUAGGAUGGAUCAAGAGAUCCAACUAAAGCAGCAUAACCUUUGUUAAAAUAUCUUGCCCCAAUUAGCUUCCUUCAAUAUAGGGCAAAGGUAGGUUUAAUAAGACAUAGUGUGGCACCAUCCUUCGUGUCUAUAGUGCAAAGGUACACGUAGAAUGACAUUGGAUAAAAUUACUAUACCUGUUGCAGUGGAAGCCUGGAUCAACAUCAUUUUGGCAAAUACCUUUCCACUUUGAUGGAACUGGUCCUAGUCCUUCAUCACUAAAGCUCAUUGAUUCUGGCCAAACACCUGGACCAAUUCCGAUAAAUUAAUAAAAGGUGAGGCCUGAGUUAGUUGACAAUGCACCUGAUAACUGACAUAUGUAAAUUUGUAUUGUAAAUUCAUUGCUAAUUACACAUUAGUUCCUGCUGCACUAGCUUUUUGAGUAAAAAAGAAUGGACUAGUUUGUCAAAGCUUUUAUGUAACUUCAGAUUAUUUGAAUGAUAGUUUAUGCAAACUGCAUUUGCUGUGAAGCUCCAGAUGCCUGACAGAGAGGAGUACAAUCUGAUUACUAAUCAACAGUAAGAAAGCUAGAUAAACACUGAUCAUCAUAAGGGGUAGUUUUGUGACUUUGUCCAUAGAUCUCCGAAUGAAAUGUGAGUUCGAUGAGUAACAAGGCCACCAAUGGAAGGAACACUUGACAAACUAAUACUGCAAAUACUCUGCAUUGGAACUUCAGUCCCACAAAAUCCCAGUCAACCAAUAUGAUGGAUCUGUAACAAUAUUUAAAACAACUGGCUCAACAGCAACUAUUUUCUCGAGAAAAGAAGUACAUUGGUUAUGUAGAAUAAGCCAAGCAUCCUCGAGUAAUAUUAUAUGAGGACUUUGUGCCAGAUUAAAAAUAUUUUUUCACACAAGACCCUUAAUAUAUUACGUCUGAAGCCAGUGAUCCAAAUUUUAAAAAUUGAAGAAAACUGUUCAAGAUUGACUAAUUAAUAAUCCGUUUGACUAAAUUUUCGUAAGUACCUAAGAUUUGCUUAUACCGAUGACCCCUAAUUCAUCUAGUCUACAGAUAAAGAGCAAAUUUAAGAUAUUCAACUCGGGUAGGAAUUAAGAAAAUGAUGCAACUUUGUAUGAACUUCAAAUAUGUUUCGGAUCACUAACAAUAAGAAUAGAGGAAACUAACCGGUAUCUAGAUUGCCAAUGAUAGCAUCUUCACCAAAUCUGGCCUUUUGCCAGAUCGAGCUGGGGAGGAUUGCACCACCAUCCUCGAGCCCCAUGAAUUCCCAUGACCUCGUUGUAUGUAAUUUUCUUGCCUUGUUCAGAAAAACCGAGACAACUUUGGGAUGCUCUGCAUAAGUGACAUAUCGCACAAAUAAAUAUUUUUUUAAAAAAAAGAAGCUAAAAUCCGAAUAAAUUGAUAUCAGAACAGAACACAAGCAUUUUGGUUUCAGAAGUACUAGCUAUCUGAGCUGCUGCUUCAUCAUCAAGCAUUGCAGCAAAACCAUUAAUGUGUCUUGUAUACGAGUAAAAGAUGGAAUCUUUGGCCUCUUCGGUCCUACAUUUUUCAACAACUUCAAGCAUGUCAAGAUUGCUUAUCAAUAUAAAAAAAACUGUUAAUUUCAAAAAAAAAUUGACUAGAGGUUUUACUCUGCCAAGAAUGACUGAAGAAACAUAUAAUGUGACUCAGUCACUCGAUCAUAAUCAACAGGCGAGACACUUUUGCCGUGAGAAUGAGCUCCCAUGUACACCACAAAAGAGUGCUGCCAAAGAAAUUUUGAAACUAAUAAUGAGGGAGCAAUUCAAAUACAGAAACAUAGCCAUCAGAUUAGAUGCUAAUAAGGAUGCUUACCUUCUCCGUAGCAAAGGUGGGAGUAUGCAAUAGCGAUAAAAGAAUAAGUGACAGAAAGACGCGAAGGGAAGUGGCAGUAGCUGCUCCCAUUUCUUCUUCUUAUGUUAGCAAGGAGAAACAAUAUAGUACUAGAAAAAAAUGGCCAUUUCGGCAUAUAUAGUACAAUUUUUGGGUCCCGUCGUUGGAAGCUCUAAUCCUAAUUUUUUUUUUUUUAUGUGAAUAGAGGGGUCUACAUCACCCUUCCAGAGCUUUAGCCACCCCUUCUAGAGUUUUUGGCGUCAGCCAAUGAAAAACGCUCAAAGAUGGUUAUAAACAAUCGCUUGUCAGGGACCAGCUCCCUUUAUAGUUUUUUCUAUGUAAAACAAUGUUGUUUGAGUUUAAAUUUCAGUUAUAACGAGGGCUUAUUUCGCAGCACAAAACUAAACAUUUCUGUAGCAGAAUUGUACUCUGGACAUAAAGGCUUCUGUACUCCUAUGCAGUCGUCUUCUUCUCAUAAAGGUUCUGCUCUUCUCUACCGGGCUGUAUUGAACCAGAUUCAAGCUACGUUCUUGAGCUGGAUAUGCAAGUUAUUGUGCCUACAAAUUAUGUUGGAGAGAUUGUUCUUUUUCUAAGGAGGCAGGUGGCUUGGGGAUUUGAGACACUUAGAAAUGCAAUUAUGCUUCAUUUUUUUUUUCCCAGCAUUGGAGAAUAACUCAGUUUUCUUCAUGUUCACUGGACUAAGAAAAUACUUGCAAAUUUUUCUUGGUGUGUCCGAGAACUUUUCAAAGUCAGGGAUUUUGCAAGGGAGAAAAUUCUAUAUUGCCUCAACUACAAUGGGACUCCUCACAAAGUGCUGCAUUUCUCUGUUUGAUCUUCAAUGUCAGUUUAAAACUCUUCUCUUCACCUACCCUCGCAAACCUCAUGGUAUGUGGUUCAACUGAAGCUGUUAUUCCAGGUGGCCUAAUACGAGAAUCUAACUUACUUCAUGGCUCUCCUGAGUUCUGCAUUCAAAACCAAAAUUUCCCUCGUUUUAUUACCAAUCUCUAAACAUUCUUGCUUCUUUUGUUCCAAACUGCCUUCUAACAGCUUAGUAAAGGAGCAAACUUUACUCUCAACAUUCAAGAAAUGUGUCACAUUAAAAGAUGUAGAACAAGUACAUGCACAAAUCAUUCAAUCUGGCCUUGACCAAAAUCUCUAUCUUAUGGGCAAGAUCAUUGUGUUUUGCGCAGUCUCUGACCGCGGUUCAAUGGACUAUGCAACCUCUGUCUUCAAGAAUCUUGAGAGCCCAGAUGGGUUUACUUGGAAUUCAAUGAUCAGAGGGUUUGUUAGGACAAUGCAAGUUGAGAAUAUUAUUGGGUAUUUCAAGAAAAUGCAAGAAACUGGGGAAAAGGCUGAUAAUUUCACUUUCUCUUUUUUGCUUAAAGUUAGUGGGCAAUUGGGGUCUGUUUUGUUGGGGGAACAGAUACAUUGCAGUGUUGUGAAACAUGGGUUGGAGGGUCAUGUGUUUGUGAGGAACACUUUGAUUCAUAUGUAUGGGAUGUUGAAGGAUAUCGACACUGCGCAGCAGCUGUUUGAUGAAAGGCCCGGUGGGAAUGUGGUGACUUGGAAUGUUAUCAUUGAUUGUCAUGUUAAUUGUGGUAAUUACAAGAGGGCGCACGAGUGUUUUUCCAGGAUGAGGAGGUGUGGUGUGGAGUUUGAUGAUGUUACAUUGGUUGCGGUUCUGACAGCAUGUUCUGUGUUGGGGAAUUUGGAUUUUGGGAGGUGGAUUCAUCGCCUUGCUGAUAAAGCUGGCCUGGGGAGCAAUGUUAUGGUUCUGAAUUCACUGAUUGAUAUGUAUGCAAAAUGUGGACAAGUUGAGGAAGCGUACAAGAUUUUUAGUGAGAGUAGCGAGAGGAAUUUAGUGACGUGGAAUUCAAUGAUAUUAGGAUUGGCAACGCAUGGCCAAGCCAGUGAAGCGUUGAAACUGUUCUCUACUUUGUUAGCUGAAAAGUUGCAGGUUCCUAAUGAUGUUAGUUUCCUGGGAGUUUUAUGUGCAUGUAGCCAUGGAGGAAUGGUAGAAAAAGGGAAAAAGUAUUUUGAUUUGAUGACAAGAGAGUAUGGAAUUAAAGCUAACAUACAACACUAUGGAUGUGUGGUUGAUAUGCUGGGUCGGGCUGGUUUUGUUAAUGAGGCUUACCAUUUUAUUAAAAGCAUGCCAUUGAAAUGCAAUGCUAUUGUGUGGAGGACUCUGUUGGCUGCUUGUCGAGUUCAUGGGAACAUUGAACUAGGAGAAGUAGUGAGAAGGCAUUUGUUGGAAUUGGAGCCAGAUCAUAGCAGCGAUUAUGUGCUUCUUGCAAACAUGUAUGCAGGUUCAGGGAAGUGGAGAGAUGUGAUGAAUGAGAGACAUUCGAUGUGGACUAGGGGAGUCCAGAAACCAAUGCCUGGCAACAGCAUCAUUGACAUGCAACCUAUUCAUUGAAAUUUGCAGCAGGUUUCUCUAUAAAGAAAAUAUUGUUUUUUUUCAAACAUAAUUCAAAUCUGAAAUCAGAAAACUGUGCAAUUAACAUCUGAAUUAUUAACAAAGAUAAGAAAGAUAAAUAAAGAGGUCUACAAAUAUUGACCCUAAAGUCAGCACAUUGUUCUCACAACAGACCAAAGAGAAAGAGUUUACUUUGCAUUUGCAAUCAUCAUAAAAAAUCAGUACUCAACACACUCUGUGUGAGCUACAGUAAAAUAAACAGGCCAAAACAAAUGAAGAGGAGAAUAAUGAUCUAAUCAUAAUAAUCAAGGGCUAUGAAAAAGAAGAAGAAUAAAUUAUCAUUAUAACCUGCUAGCAUUAAAAUUUUAAAAUGCCUUAACCACAAUAGGACUCCUCACAAAGUGCUUACCAUCUGACCAUAUCAACUUCCCAAACACAUAGUCCUUGGCUGCACUUCUUUGUUUGAGCUUCAUUGUAAUUUUAAAUUUCUUCUCUUCGCCAAUCUUUCCAAAUUUCAGGCUAGUUGGCUUAACUGCAACUGUUAUUCCUGGUGGCCUAACUAUGCGUGCUUUGUACGUACCUGGUGAACCAACAUUUUUAACCGUUCUGGUCACUGUAAUUGAGCCUUUGAGGUUAGGGACGGUGAUGGAAGGAUAAUUGAAAUUCAUGAGAAUAAUGUGUUUCGGGCAGGUAUAAGGCUCCUCUGAAAACAGUGUGAUCUGACUUUGAUUGUAAUUGAGGGAACACAAGAAUACAAGGUAAUCGUCUACAGUUAGGUCAUAAACCAAUCCGGGAUCCAUAGCACGGUUUGGUUGCACAUGUCCUGCUCCAUAUGAGAAAGGUGAUGCCUUCAAGUGGGAUGCAUUGGUCAUUGCAUGCAUAUUGUUAUCCUGUGUUCUUGCUGGAAUGUUAAGAAUAUAUAUCAGCAUAGCAGACGUAUUCUUCAUAUAGUUCAAGUAGUAUAUGAUGUAAACUAAAUUGCUUGGAUGAAAGUUCCUUAUAUAUGAUAAGACCUUAGAAUUUCUUCUAACUAUUUCAUUUUUUAACAGUAAGAAAAAAAUCCUAACUAGAUGAAAGAUAUAGACUCUGCUGUACUGCAACGACGAGGAUAUUCUUACCAGUAGUCAUGAUUGCAGAUUUGAUUGCAGCAGGACUCCAUGUUGGAUACAGAGUUUUCAGCAGGCCGGCAAUGCCAGAAAUAUGAGGGCAUGACAUGGAAGUUCCUGAUACUGCAUUAAAAAGAACUCGUCGCUUGUCAAAUCGCUGAUUUGUUGGUCCUACUUCUCUUGUGUAAGCAGCUAUUAUGCUUACUCCUGGGGCAGUGAUAUCAGGCUGAAAAAUUAUAACAUCAUUACUAUUUAGCACAUAUAUUUAUGUAUUUAUGUUUACCAGAACUGGUAAAAUCUAAAAUUAGGUAUUCUUGCAGAACCUUGAGGAUCUCAGGAGUGACAAGGUUUGGUCCUGUUGACGAAAAAGCAGCCAUGAAGGGAGCUGGUUUUGUACCUAACUGAGUUGUUGGACGGGUUAAGUAAGCCACCGGAGACCUGUGAAUGUUGGAUAAAGUUUAGAAAGGAAUAUGUACCAUUAGCUUUAUAUAAAACAACUUAUAUAAUUAAAUUUAUUUUCUAGUUGCCAUACUUAGUUGAUUGGAUGUAUUCAUAGACGGCAAGGCCAUCAGUGUAGGUAAUAUGUGAGGCAGGAAGCACAUGAGGGUCAGCGAUUAUUUCAUUUCCAGAAACUUCAUUGUUAGCGAGGAUCAUUGCCACAGCACCUGCUGAAAGAGCUUGCUGGCCCUUGUCAACCCUGGCAUUAUCACCCCGAAGACAGACCAAUAUCUUUCCCUUCACCUUAGUAGAAUCCAAAGAUCCAGCUUUGCAAAGUUCACUGAAUGAAUAAAAAGAUCACCAGAAGACACUGUCAUGUUUGCUAGACUUUUUUAGUGAAUAGUUUGUAUGCAACAAGCAUUAUUAGAAUCAGACUACCAAUAGCUUCUGUCCUUACGCGUCUUCUGCAUAUGCAUCAGCAGCUUUGGCAUCUUUAGAUCUAACGACUGGAUAGAAAUGCUUUCUUGGCAAAACUUCUACUGAAAGACUUUCUCCCUAAUAAGAAAGAAAAAAAAGUUUUGCUAGAUCAGCUUCUAAAAGAACAAAUGCUUAAUAUGAUCAUUUGCAUGUUUUAUGUUUGAGAAUUGGUGUUCCAUCUUCUCAUCGAUUCACAGUUCUUCUUAUAUAAUAUUCCCUCCGCUGAGUUAACAGUAAUAUUUUUCAAGUGUGUUCAUGGGGAUAUCAACUCUGACUCUCUGAGUCCACGACACAAAAAUUAUACUCCCUCCGUUUCAAAUUACAUGUCCACUUUCAAAAAAUCACAUAGUUUAAGAAAAGUGGAUUUUGAGAAAAAAGAGGUGUAAUAAGUCAUUAAUUGAACUUAAUAUGUGGUAUAUGGUUGAUCUUGGAAAUAUAAAUUUGAAAUGUGUGGAGGAGAGUUGAUUUUGGAAAUAUAAAUUUACAUUGAAAGUUUAAGUGGACAAGUAUUGUGAAACAAAACUUUUUUUCUAAAGUGGACAUGUAUUUUGAAACGGAGGGAGUAUUUAUGAAAAAUUUGACUAGGAUGAGGACAACUAACCUUGAACCGAAUCUUAUUGCCAAGAGUGACAUAACUAGGAAACUGGCGAUCCAUGGUGCUGGCUCCAACUGUGAAUUGCCAAGGUGCUACGUUCGCAACAGUACCUGCAUCUGGUCCAGAAUUUCCGGCUGAACAGGAAACAAAUAUCCCAUGCUUAACAGCAUGAAAAGAACCAAUGGCCACGCUGUCAUUGAAAAACCCAACAGCAUCACCUCCCAGUGAAACAGACAGCACAUCCACACCAUCAUCAAUGGCAACAUCAAAUGCAGCUAAUAUAUCUGCAUCAAAGCACUCAUUACCACCCUCAGGGGGCCAGCAGACCUUGUAUGCAGCCACUCGUGCUUUUGGUGAUCCACCUUUUGCUGUCCCAUUGCCGUAACCAAAAACAUUUGCCCCAGGCACAAAACUACCACCUGCUGUUGAUAAAGUGUGUGAUCCAUGUCCUUCAAUAUCACGUGGUGUGUCAUAGACCGGAUCAAGAGAUCCAACUACAGCAGCAUAACCUUUGUUAAAAUACCGAGCUCCAACCAGCUUCCUUCAUUAAGAGAAAACAUAUAUAUCAAUACCCUGUCAACUUUCAAGCUAACUUAACAUAAUGAAUAUGGAAAAUCAGGCAUAGAAAGCUGAGAAACCACUUCUACAAAUUGAAUUAGCAAGACAUAGUGCAGUGCAAUCCUCCCUGUCAAUAAUGCAGAGGUCCCUGUAGAGGGCCACAAUUAGAACACAUUGUAUAAAGUGAUUAUACCUGUUGCAGUGAAAGCUGGGAUCACCAUCAUUUUGACAGAUGCCUUUCCACUUUGAUGGAACUGGUCCCAGUCCUUCAUCACUAAAGCUCUCAGAUUCCGGCCAGACACCUGGACCAUUCCCAAUACACAAAACAUGAGGCUAGAGAUAGUUGACAUUGAACUUGAUAAUUGACAUUGGUAUCGUACUCCUUCAGUAACCAAAUUCGUGGCCCCGAAGGCUGGAACAUGACCGUAAAUUUCUUGUUAAUUAUACUCUAGCUUCUGUUGUACACAUGCAUGCACAUUUCUAACUUUAAGAGUAAAACAAGCACUUUCUGGGACCAUUUUUUCCAAACUUGUCNUAUGAAAAAUUUGACUAGGAUGAGGACAACUAACCUUGAACCGAAUCUUAUUGCCAAGAGUGACAUAACUAGGAAACUGGCGAUCCAUGGUGCUGGCUCCAACUGUGAAUUGCCAAGGUGCUACGUUCGCAACAGUACCUGCAUCUGGUCCAGAAUUUCCGGCUGAACAGGAAACAAAUAUCCCAUGCUUAACAGCAUGAAAAGAACCAAUGGCCACGCUGUCAUUGAAAAACCCAACAGCAUCACCUCCCAGUGAAACAGACAGCACAUCCACACCAUCAUCAAUGGCAACAUCAAAUGCAGCUAAUAUAUCUGCAUCAAAGCACUCAUUACCACCCUCAGGGGGCCAGCAGACCUUGUAUGCAGCCACUCGUGCUUUUGGUGAUCCACCUUUUGCUGUCCCAUUGCCGUAACCAAAAACAUUUGCCCCAGGCACAAAACUACCACCUGCUGUUGAUAAAGUGUGUGAUCCAUGUCCUUCAAUAUCACGUGGUGUGUCAUAGACCGGAUCAAGAGAUCCAACUACAGCAGCAUAACCUUUGUUAAAAUACCGAGCUCCAACCAGCUUCCUUCAUUAAGAGAAAACAUAUAUAUCAAUACCCUGUCAACUUUCAAGCUAACUUAACAUAAUGAAUAUGGAAAAUCAGGCAUAGAAAGCUGAGAAACCACUUCUACAAAUUGAAUUAGCAAGACAUAGUGCAGUGCAAUCCUCCCUGUCAAUAAUGCAGAGGUCCCUGUAGAGGGCCACAAUUAGAACACAUUGUAUAAAGUGAUUAUACCUGUUGCAGUGAAAGCUGGGAUCACCAUCAUUUUGACAGAUGCCUUUCCACUUUGAUGGAACUGGUCCCAGUCCUUCAUCACUAAAGCUCUCAGAUUCCGGCCAGACACCUGGACCAUUCCCAAUACACAAAACAUGAGGCUAGAGAUAGUUGACAUUGAACUUGAUAAUUGACAUUGGUAUCGUACUCCUUCAGUAACCAAAUUCGUGGCCCCGAAGGCUGGAACAUGACCGUAAAUUUCUUGUUAAUUAUACUCUAGCUUCUGUUGUACACAUGCAUGCACAUUUCUAACUUUAAGAGUAAAACAAGCACUUUCUGGGACCAUUUUUUCCAAACUUGUCUAACAGGGCAUGUGAUGCCGCAAUUAUAAUAUAAGAGAGGCUUAUAUAAACAACAUCCUGGUAUAAAUAAUGAAACAAUCCAUAAUUAUAUAUGCAAACAGUUUGAUAAAGCAUCUUAAAGGGCAAUUAUGUCCAUGAAUUUUUCUAUGAAACAUAUGAAUAAUCCCAGCCCAGUGAAGGAAUACUAAUGGAUCUGUGCAGCAAUAUAGUUUUUAAACAACUAACCGGGUCAAGAUUUACUAUCCUUCUCAAGAAAAGAUGUGCAUUGGUUAUGUAGAAUAAGCCAAGCAUCUUAAAGAGUGAUAGUAUAAAACUGAGAUUUAUAGAAUACAAGAUUGUUUGGACUUCUGUGUCAGACUGUCAGACAAAAAUAUUUAACAGGACAAAACUGUUAUUAUAUUUAUUUUCGAAGUCAAUGAUCUGGACUUCUGAUACCCAAGACAACCGUGUAUAUUAAUCAAGAGUUUGUUUGAUUGAGCUUUUUUUAAGGUGCUAAAAUGUACUUCUGACAAUGAAUUCUGACUUAUAAGUCGUAAACAAGUUCAGAAAUUUAGCUAAACGGUAUCAAGUGACUAGGCUCAGGCAAGAAAAUGAUGCUGAUUAUCCCCAUGAUCAGUGACAAUAUCAAUAGAGGAAAACUAACCAGUGUCUAGAUUGCCAAUGAUAGUAUCUUCACCGAAUCUGGCCUUUUUCCAGAUCGAGCUGGGACGGACUACACCAUGAUCUUCGAGCCCCAUGAAUCCCCAUGACCUGGUGGUAUGUAAUUUUCUCCCCCUGUUUGGAAAAAUCGAAACUACAUUGGGAUGCCCUGCAUUAAAAACAUUAAUUGCAACCUUAGUUAAAUAAAUUUACUUAAAAAAAAUAUUUUCAAUAUGAAACAAAGCACAAGCAUUUGAUUCCCAUCUUACUAGCAAUCUGGGCUGCUUCUUCAUCAUCAAGUGUUGCAGCAAAACCAUUAAUGUGUCUUGUAUACGAGUAAAAGAUGCAAUCUUUAGCCUCCUCAGUCCUGCAUUUUCCGCAAGUCCAAGCCUAAUAAGAUUCCUCAUCAUUCUCAAAUAAAACAAUCUUAGUUACUAGAUUCAUUACCUUGUCAAGAAUGACUGGAGGAACUUAUAAUGUGACUCAGUCACGCGAUCAAGAUCAGCAGACGAGACACUCUUGCCAUGAGAAUGAGCUCCCAUGUACACCACAUAAGAGUGCUACAAAAGAAAAGGACUUAAAGAACUAUAAUGACUUAAUCAUUGAAACAUAGAGGCUUAAUCAUUGUAUCAGAUGCUAAUAAGGAUGCUUACCUUUUCUCUGGCAAAGGUGGGAGCAUGCAGUAGUGAUAAAAGAAUAAGUGAUAAAAAGACACAAAGGGGAGUGGCAGUAGCUGCUCCCAUUUCUCCUUCUUUUGGUAGCUUUCUACACUCAAAUCUUGCUUUCUUCUUGAAUACUACUAUGCAACAUGGGGCAUAUUGGUUAAUUAUAUAGUAGAAAGAUGUGUAACUUUUACUAUUCUAUCCUAUUGCUUAAAGUAUAUGCUAAAUCUGCAGUGCACAAGUUAUACAGCCAAUACCCCUUUAAUAUUAUACUUCCUCUGUGAUAAGACGGUAACUCGGUUCACAAAAUUUCCGCAUUGUACUGCAGGGUCCGAGACGUAACGUAAUCUUAUCUUUAUUUUAUUUGAAAGAGAAAUGAAGUUCUUCUUUCUGAGAUGAUACGCUCACAUGCAUGCAUAUUGCAUAGGCAUUCCUUUACCAUUGUAUAAUAAUAUAUAAAAUCCGAAUUCCUGUCAAUCGAUUUAUACAAUCAGUUUUCAAUAAUCGUUAAUCGUCGAGAUUUUAAUUUUGAAUUAUAGUCAUCCAGAAUUUUCAUCUUCUGACAAAGAAAUUCGCUCAAAAAUAAUUACAACAAUUAUCUGUCAGCACCAGUUUCUUUAGCAUCAACAUAUGUGCUCUCUUUUCCGGUCAAAUUGAGCCUGACAGAUCAGAUUACACAAAGCUACGAUGAAAGCAGGAUCUGAAAGAGCUGGCCAACGGAUACUAAUUUCAAAAGUCGUAGUAUAAUCUAUCGAAAAAUUAAAUAAACCACGUGUAUGAAAUUAAUGUAGGAACGACUUACUAAAAGGCUAAUACACUUAUUUUAGUGAAAUCAUGUCUACUUGUCGUACAUUAUCAAUUGUUUGGUCGACUAUUUUAGCUAUUUUCGUUCUUCAGCACAGAAUCUAUAGAUCUUCCGGCUUCUUAUCUUUUUUCCUAUUAUUAAAUGUUUUAUUUUUUUUACGCUUUUAUUUUAUAUUAUUUGAUUCGCGAAAUGAUAUGAGAUUGAAAUUAGAAAUUGAUAAAGAUUCGAGAUAUCAUAUGAUAUCAUGUGUUUGGUUAAAUAUUAGAAGUAAUAUGCUUCCUCCGUCCCUCUAGGUUGUUUGCGUUCGCCGUUUGCACGCAUUUUGAGUACUAUAAAGUAUAGUUUCACAACUUUUUUAAAAAAAAAAAUUUAAUAAAAAUCUAAAUAUCAAACUUUUAUUCAGGAAAAAAAAAUUAAAAAUAUAUUAUGAAACUAUACCUUAAAUGAGUUUGAAAAAGCGUGCCAAAAAGUAACGUAAAGAAAUGAGUUUUUCCCGUCCAACGUUAAAAUGGGUUUUUCCCGUCCAACGCUAAAAAAGCGCGGGACAUACUCAAAUUUUGUCUUAAUCCUGACCGUUGAAUAUGCAUCCAAUGGCCAGAAAACUGUAUGUUUUUUAACGGAUCACAGCAUACAUAUGCUAGAGACAUUAACCCUUGUAAUGUAUAUAUAUGUUUUGAAAACAAGUAGAUAAAACGAGUAUGAAUAAGAGAAUUUGCCUUAUUGUCGUUUGAUUUAUAAGUCUUGAGUAGCAAGGUUCUUCUGACUGCCUUGAACAUACUGAUCAAAUUCUGUGUCAUAUAAUCUUUGUGCCCAAAAUUAUGUAAUCGGCUUCAAAAGUUGAAAUAACAAAUUUUUAAUUUCAGUUCUUGAGGAAGUUCCGAACAAACUCGAGGCCAUCGUGAUGACCAUAGUCGUGUAGUAGGAUUGGUUUAUGAUGGAGACAAGGAAGACUAGUACAGAGACUCACCCAUCUUUUGGAUAAUAUUCAAGUCUUUACUCCCUCAAGAGAAUCGAGAUGUUUGAGGAUUUUGUGAAUUGGUUCAUCUGGCAAAUCGCUAAUCUUGAUCUACCCCUGCUUCUUGCGUUUCUCCGCCCAUUGUUCAUCAACCCUAGCUUCAGCUUAUGGGCAGGGAAUGAUGUAAGUUUUAAGGCUUUUACAUUCAAUUUGUUCAAUUCGGUCAAAAUCUUUAAGAUUAUAUAUUAAACAAUUAGAAACUAAGGGUCGUUUGACUGGGUUUAAAAAAAGUGAUUUAUUGCUUAAAGUUGCUUAAAGUAAAGAAGUGAAUUAUAAAUAAAAAGUUGGCUUAAACUUAUAGGUUAUUAAAAGUGUUUGGAUACCCGUGACUUAAAAGUCACAAAGAAGCUUCUAAUCAGAAAAAAGCUAGUAACCUAGCUUUUUUUCUUGGCUUCUCAAGCAUCAUUUUAAGUGCUUCUUUAAGUUACCCAAACACCAUGAAAAAAAGUUGAAACCCUCUUUUUUUAUAAAUAAGCCAUAAGUUGGGGUUGCCAAACACCCACUAAAUAAAUUAUAACAUUUACGUCUAUUAUUUGGGUUUUUUUCUAGAUACUUGUCUCUAGUAUUCUGUAAGUAGUUUAAUAUUUCUGUUAUAUAAAUUUUAUAACAUGUAGCUUUGUCCAAUGAUUAAGAAAUUGGUCUCUACAGGAAUAGCAGGGGUUCGACUAUAUUUUCUUGAUGCAAAAAUGAAAUAAAUUUCUCAAAACAAACGGAGGAAGAUAACCAACAAAGAAUCCAUUUUUUCUUUGUUAAUUAACCACGCCUACACAAAUGCAGAGUGCAGUACAUUAUACACGACUUUGCAAGACUUCUUUUUGGAAUUUCAUGUUAGCUAAUUCUAUUAUUAGUCGAUCUGAUAUGAUCCCCUAACUACCUAUCUGCAAAUAUACAAAAAUUGUCAUUCUUUUUAGGCAACUAGCAAAUAUGCUCUUGUCGUAAAGUAUGUUUGAACAUCAUAUUUUAAGACUGUCCUCUUAUGAUUUAUUCUAUCAUUGUUGAUUUUAGUUUAAUACUAUACCAACCCAAGCAUUAUAAUCCGAACAGUACUGCCUUGUCUUUUGAUUUGUAAGCUUGUACAUUUGCCGUCCAAUAAACAUUAUAUAAGUGAUGUUUGGCGAGCUCUUAAACAACUUAUAAAUUGAUAUUUACAUAUAUUUUUUGGCUUAUAAGCUAUUUAUAAGCCCUGCACAUAGUCUUACAGUUAUAGCAGUUGCUGCAGCUAUGGAAGAUGCAGAGAGUGUUGUUGCAGUGAAGACGCCAGAGAACAAUGCGCAACAAAAGGUUGCGAAAUCGACAUGGAAUGAGUUUGCGGCAGAGGCUAAGCUGAUCAGUUUGAUUUUUUUGCCAAUGGUGCUUGUUACAACCUCGCAGUAUUUAUUAAGAUUUGCGUCCACUUUAAUGGUUGGCCAUGUCGGAAAGCUUUAUCUCUCUGGGGCUGUCCUGGCCAUGUCUUUCACAAAUGUCACCGGCUUCAGUUUUCUUGUAAGUUAAAUCUCGUAUUCGUCUAUUAAUGCCUUCGUGUCUGUAUUAUAUUGUGAGAAUAUUGAGGGUGAUGGAGAGUCGAACCUGGGACCUCCGUCAAAUUUGAGGUCUGAUACCAUAUUAAGUGACUCAUUCUCUCAAAACCUCGAGGUAUCAGGAAGAGGCUUACCAACAUCAUGUUAUAUUUUAACAAUUUAAUUUGUCGAAAUGCAGUUUGGAAUGGCGAGUGCAUUGGAAACAUUAUGUGGUCAAGCUUAUGGCGCAAAGCAGCACAAAAAGCUUUCGGUGUACACGUAUGGAGCCAUAAUAUCUCUGCUUUUACUCUGCAUACCAGUAGCUAUUCUAUGGAUAUUUAUGGAGAAAUUCCUGAUCCUAAUCCACCAAGACCCUCUAAUUUCACACGAAGCCGGAAAGUUUUCAAUCCGGCUCAUACCAGCAUUAUUCCCAUACGCAAUUCUUCAACCAUUGGUUCGAUACCUGCAGUCUCAGUAUUUGAUUCUUCCUCUGCUUGUGAGCUCACUAGCAACUCUGGCUUUUCAUGUCCCGGUUUGUUGGGCAUUUGUGUAUAAGUUUAACAUGGGAAGUGAUGGAGCAGCUCUGGCUAUGGGUCUAUCAUAUUGGUUCAAUGCAAUUUUUCUUGGCCUUUAUGCCAUGUAUUCACCCAAAUGUGCUGAUACUCGUGCUCCCUUCUCUAUGGAGGUUUUUGGUACGAUCAAGACUUUCUUGCGGCUUGGCAUCCCAUCUGCUCUCAUGAUUUGGUAAGUUGUAAAUUUGUAAUUCUAUACUUGCAGAGGUUCCAGAAUUUUUUAUUUCCAUUUCAAUGCCAUGCUUCCUAUAGUUUGCCAGAAAUGUCGAUUAGGUUAAUGCCCCGGUUGACCUUUAAAAAUCAAUUAGAGAAAUUAUCUUAUAAAUCAUGAUUUUUAGUUAAAAUCAGUACAAACUUGAUUUGAGACCCGGCUGAUCUACAAAAUUCAACGUUCUGUUAUCUUACCUUAGCCCCGACUGUUUCAAAAUCCUGGUUUCGUCACCGCUUGGUUUGGUCAAUUUUUUCAAUUCCUGUAACAGCGUGCUCUUUAUAGUUUUUAACAAAUGCUUCUCUGCAGUCUCGAAUGGUGGGCGUAUGAGGUAGUUAUAUUUUUUGCCGGGAUUAUGAAAAAUCCGCAACUGGAGACUUCAGUACUCUCAAUAAGGCAAUGCUUCUUUCUCUGAUAUUGCUCAUGUUCUUGAUAAGGCAAUAUUAAUAUACAAUCCUUAAGAGAAAAAUUACUUCUGCUAAUCAAAUCUUAUUCGUAAAUCAUAACAGUAUUACGGUUGCUGUCCUGCAUUAUUUUGCUCCGUUCGCUCUCGGUGUUGCUGCAAGGUCUGUGGAAAACUCUGUUCUUAUGUCAAAACAACUGUGUGUUUUAAUGUUUGUUGUACUCAAUUCCGUGUACUUAAUAAACAGAACAUCUUCAACAUUUGUAGCAUUCGUGUUUCAAAUGAACUAGGGGCUGGAAAUCCAAAGGCUGUCCGGAUGACUGUCUGGGUAGUUAUGGUUCUUGGAGUUAUUGAGGUGAGCAUUUCCGCGGCAGUACUUUUCUCCCUUCGCCAUGUUCUAGGACGUGCAUUUGUGAGUGAUAACCAAAUUGUGGACUAUGUUCGGAGAAUGACUCCGUUUAUAUGUCUCACCAUGGCCUUGGACAGCAUUCAAGGAAUACUUUCAGGUAAUAAACUUAAUAAUUUUAUUUCGUUUCUAACUUUGUCAGUACAUUAAAAAAAAUUAUUGCAUCUUCCUUUUAACCAUGAUUUAUGUAUCCGUAGGAGUUGCAAGAGGAACCGGGUGGCAGAAACUUGGCGCUUAUGUGAAUCUCGGAUCAUAUUAUCUAGUCGGUAUUCCAGUGGCUCUACUAUUAGGUUUUCUGGUGCAUUUGAAGGCCAAGGGUCUUUGGAUCGGUUUAGUUUCAGGAGCUCUGGUGCAAAGUAUUCUGCUUGCCAUUAUAACAAGUUUUACGGAUUGGAAAAAAGAGGUUAUGUUUUUUACUUGACUGCCAAAAUCUUAUUGUUAGAAUCUAAUAUGAUCCGGAUAAGCCCUCCUAACAGCUUGAGGUUUUGGGAGAAUUGGUCACUUUACAUGUAUCAGAGCUCAGGCUCGCGGAAAAUGGUAGUCUGUGAAAAGUGAAACAUGUAAGACGGAGCAUAUCAGCUGAUGAACGUAUCGUUUUUAUUGCAGGUAGAGGACACUAGAGUUCGGGUGCAAGAAGUGAAAGUCCCAGAUGAGAAGUGAGAAAAAGUUUUGAUAUCAGAUUCACUGCAAGUGUAGAAGACCCGGAACGAUGAAAUUGUCUGUCGUCUUCAUUAUUACAUGUACAUGUAUUUCAUAACAAAUUGCAAGAGUGAAUCAAAAGGGUGUUAAAGUUUAUACAAGGAUGUUUAAAUGCUUUGAUAAACAGCAGAUCCUGUGCUUUUUUCUGCGUUUUACUGAAAAUUUACGUGUAAAGAAUCUUACAAUAGAACUGAAUAUCUGGCUACAUUUAUAUUGAAAAAUCACAAGAAUAAGCGAAUACAUUAAUUUUGAAAUAGAACAAUCUACUGCAGUUACUAAGUACAGGUAGGUACUAUUUGACGUUAUGCUCAAGUGUCUACUUUUUUCAUGAAUUCAAACUCUGAAGACGGCCAUUUUGAAGAAAAAUCAAAGUAAGACAGAUCAUUUAUACACUUUCAGCAGUCGGCUAAUCACAUAAUGGAGCAAUUAGAGCAAACAGGCUUCUUCACCUUAUCUUCGGCCGGGACAACACUGAUUAAAUCUGCACCCCCCACAUUCUUUCUCAACAAAUUAGUGAGUUCGACGGUAUCUAUUUCAUUUCCGACCACCUCUAGCAUAUCCGUGCUAUCGCCUUUUAUUGCUACUGAUUCUACCCCUGCAAACAUACAUAACAUUAAAAAACCUGAGUAGAGAGACUGUUUUCGAGAAACCACACGAGCAUCGGAAAGACAUAGAGGUCUUACCUGGGAUACUAGCUGCAGUCUUUAUGGCUUUGGCCUUGGACUUCUUGGGAUCAGACAUGUCCACUCUGAUCACCACCUUUUGCUGCACAAAAAAUAAAAAAUUAAAUUUUGUUACAAGGUAACAAAAUACAUAAAGAACUAUACAAAAUCAUUUGUACUAGCUAAAUUAUAGUACCUUCAUUGUGUUGGUGUAUUAUCGUUUGGAAGAAAAAUUUUGUAAGAGAAUAGGAAGGUAGGAUCUAAAGAGAGUAUGAACAUGCAACAAAUUUAUAGAAGAAAUGAUUGAAGCCUUGAAGCGUUCAAACCUUAAUCUUAAUUAACCUUGAUCGUCAUAAUUACGUCAAGAAAGAUGAUCACUUUUUUAAUAAUAAAUAAUUAUAAAGUAAUAACAUUGUCCGGAAAGUCUUGAAUACUAUUUUUUAUGUCUUUUUAAUAUUUUUUAUUUUUCUGGAAUGCAAAUUCUAUAUUGUUUAUUAGUAAGAUAAUAUAAAUUAUAUAUAUUUUUAAUCAAUUAUUGCUGUUCUUGCUACUACAUCAACGGUUCUUGUAAUAUAUUAAUUAUAGAAGUACGCUAGUUUAAUCAUCUCUUCGUAAAUUGAUAAAAUUGCACAUUAAAUAUAAUAUAUAUAUAUAUAUACACUAUAUAUAGUACUCCCUCUGUCCUUCAGAUGUCCCUCUCAUUUCUUUACGUUACUAUAAAUAGUAAAUUUUUCCCAUCAUUACACCCACUAUCUUCCUCUACCAUCUCAUAUUUAACAAUAAAAAUUACUAUUACACCCACUACUUUCAUCCAUUAUCUCAAAUCUAUUAUUAAGGGCCUGUUUGGUUUACGGAAGCAGAAGCUUCUUCUGGUUUCUGCUUCUUUUGACCCGUUUGUGUAAAGAAGUAGAAGCACUUUUAAGAAGCUGAAAAUGCUAGCUUCUCUAUCACAGCUUCUGCUUCUUUUCCAAACACUUUAUUAACUUAUUUACUUCUCACUUCUACUCCACUUCUUUACUAUAAGCAAGAAGUCACUUCUUUUAAGCUAAGCCAAACGGCCCCUAUAUAUUGAUAAGUCCCACCACUUUACCCACUUUUCAUCUAACUUUACUCAUUUUUUAUACAUUAUCUUAGUCUCCGUGUCCCCCUUCAAUGUAAACCAUUGAGAGGGAGGGAGGGAGUAUAUAAUUUGUGGGGAGAAAUGUUUGGAUAGACACUCAUCAAAGUAUUUUAUAAUAUAUUCAAUGUCAGGAACUUAACUGUUGAUAAAUAGCAGGAUGAGUCACUAGUGUAGUAGUGUUCCUUAUUAAUAAUAGUAUAAUACUGACGAGUGACUCACAACUAGGAAGAGGACAGGUGGGAGUUGGGUGAAACUAAACUCCUGGUUGGGUCUCAUAUAUUAAUUUUAUAAAUUGGAACAUAAAAUGAGUUUAGACAGCUGUUGAAAUAUUAUCGAAAAAGUCUCAACAUAAGGGUUAGUUGAUUGCAAGUUGGUUGGUUGAACAUGUUUAUCACUUACGUGUAGGUGAAGAUUUUAGAUUUCCGUUUAUUCCUCGAAAAUACUUUUCGUCGAUACAUUUUUUUAGUAGUUAAAGAAAAACUAAUUAUAUCUAGCACUUAUAUGGGUUUGUUUGGGACGUGCAUAAUAAAAUAUUUUCUAGGGAAGAGUUUUUGUUUUUAUUUUUGAAAUGACGACUUUACCUUCCACGAAACAUUUAUUUUGAGGGGACAUAUAUAUUUCACUGAUAUCAGUGAAAUUUUUUAACAUUUUGGUUAAUUUUAUAUAUAUUUUAAAUUAAUAAUGUUAUAAUACAAAUGGAAUAGAGUCGAUUUUAAAAUCAUAUGUAGUUGAUAAUGAUACCGUGUUAAAAAUGAUUUAUAUGCUGAACACAUUUCAACGAACAAAACAUAAUAAAAAAAAUUAUUCCAUCCAAUUGUUUUUGUGGAUUUUUGAAAAAAAAUCGAAACCCAAAUUAGGUGAACUCUCUAUAUUUAUUUAUAACCUUACAAGUUAUUAAGAAAAUAAUUAAAAAUAUUAUGAAACAUAUUUUAUAAGCAGUAUUAAAAUGCGCGAACGUAACAUGAUAAUAAUAUAAGAAUACAUGGGAAAAAAAAGUUAACACAUGGCUGCAAAAUUAACAGUUUACGAGUCUGUAGCAGUAUGUUUUAUGUAACGGUAGGAGUUGCAAGAGGAAAGGGUGACAGGGUCUUGGGGCUUAUGUGAAUCUCGGGUCAUAUCUAUUUAGUUGGAAUUCUAGUAGCUCUAGGUUCGAUGUUUCUGGUGCAUUGAGGCCCAAGGGUUCAUAGGAUUGGUUUAGUAACUGGAUCUCUGGUGCCAGGUGUUCUGCUUGCAACUAUAACGAGUUCAACAGACUGGAAAAAAGAGCUUAUAUUAUAAUUCGACAUGUUUUAACAUAUUAUUUUAAAGAACAUGAUGGAAGUGCCUUUGAAUAUACAAUGCUAUGAAUUAUUAGGAGAGUGAAGGGUUUGUAAAGUGUUUGGCAGAAUGUGAGUCACAUAUACACAUUAAAACGAGCAGUUUCAGCUGACGAAUAUGUUGUUUCUGCUGCAGGUAGAAGCUAGGGAAAGGGUGCUUGAAAUGAAAGUUUCGGCUUAAUAACCGGCAAGUUAACAAACCUUCAGGCAAGUUUCUGCUAAUAAAUAUUGAAUUUAAUGUUAUAGAAAACACAAAUAGAGAUUAUUGUUGGAGUUGUCAUUCAAUGUAGAGUCCAGUUGUCAUUCAAUGUAGAGUCUCCGGCUAUUUAGAAAUUGAAUUGUUUAUAAUAUUUAGGGAACCUCUCGCUAGGACACGGGGCAAUGUAAUUGAAAUGAAAGUUUCGGCUCAGAAAUGAGUUUUGCCAUGAUUCAACCUUCAUAACAAACUUUCAGAAUGACCAUAUAUUGGAUGAUAUUAUAAUGUUUGUCAUAUUCACUACUGCAUGUAUAUCAUAACAAGAAGUUAUCUAUAGUUUCGUUUUUGUUAGAUAUAUCUAUAAGCUUGUUUUUAUUGCAAGAGUGAAUCAGAAAAGUGUUUGAGCACUCAGAUGAAUGGUCCUAUGCAAAAGAUUUACAAUGUGUUCUUGAAUAUAUAAAAAAAAUGUGAAAAAUCAUAAAGCAUGUCUAAUUUGGUAUAAAAAGUAUAUGAUUGAAUUUGCGUAUAAAAAGAAAAUGUCUGAGUGCUCGAAAAGCAUAAAAGCAUCUCUGACUGCUCUGAGAUGAAGAGAGGGUCCUCUGCAACCUGUAUAUUAGUGAAAAAUCUACACGUAAAGAUAUGUGUAGGGUUUUGAAAACAAAAACUAGUUUGCUAUAGCAAAGCGGAAGCCAUGGCAGACGAAGAGGGUGGUGUAGCAGUUAAGACACCAGAAAACAAAGCGAAACAAAUGGUUGCAAAAUCAACAUGGAACGAGUUUGUAGCAGAGGCCAAAAAUAUCAGUUUAAUUUUCUUUCCUAUGCUGCUUGUUUCAACCAUGCAAUAUUUGUUAAGAUUUCUGUCCACUUUAAUGAUUGGCCAUGUUGGGAAACUUUCUCUCUCGAGUGCUGUCGUUUCCAUGUCUUUUACUAAUGUUACAGGCUUCAGUCUUCUGGUAAGUUAGCUACAAAAAGACCUAAGGGAUUUAGCCUAAGUUCUGUUUACAAUGACGUGGCAUAUAAAUGGUUGAUUUUAAUUGGGUGGUUUAUGUGCAAACAUGGGGUCUCAUUAUUAUUAAUGCGAGUAGAAUUAGUCAUACAUCGCCAACUAGAUUUGAGAAGAAAAAAUUGGGAACACUUUUUGGAGUACCUAGCAUUUUCCAUUUACUUUCGGUUCUUGUUUCUUAAGUUGCAUGUCAUAACUAAUUGGAAAUUGAUUCUGUUAAAAACAGUAUGGAAUGUCCGGUGCACUGGAAACAUCAUGUGGUCAAGCCUAUGGAGCAAAGCAGCACAAAAAGCUUUCCAUCUAUACUUAUGGGGCCAUUAUAUCGCUACUUAUACUUUGCAUACCAGUAACUAUUUUAUGGAUCUUCGUGGAAGAACUUCUGAUCAUUAUCCACCAAGACCCUCAAAUUUCACACGAAGCCGGAAGGUUUGCAAUCUGCUCAAUACCAGCAUUGUUCUCCUAUGCUAUCCUUCAACCGUUGGUUCGCUACUUGCAGUCUCAGUAUUUGCUUCUUCCUUUGCUUGCAAGUUCACUUUCAACUCUGGCUUUUCAUGUCCCCGUUUGUUGGGCAUUUGUAUUUAAGUUUCGUAUGGGAAGUGAUGGAGCAGCACUAGCUAUUGGUUUAUCAUAUUGCUUCAAUGCCAUCUUUCUUGGCCUUUACGCCAUGUUUUCACCAAAAUGUGCUGAUACUCGUGCUCCAUUCUCUAUGGAGGUUUUUAGUACAAUCAAGGACUUUUUCAAAAUUGGUAUCCCAUCUGCUCUCAUGGUCUGGUAAGUAUGAUUUUAAGCUACCAUUUCUCCUAAAACCGGUUUUAGGAGGCGUUUUUCUUAAAAAAAUUAUCAUUAGCUUCUCACUAUUACCUCAGAAUUAUCUGCUCUAAUACUUUUCACCGAAAUGUUUCCUUGCAGUCUUGAAUGGUGGGCAUGCGAGAUAAUCAUAUUUCUGGCUGGGGUCAUGAAAAAUCCCCAAGUGGAGACUUCAGUGCUGUCUAUUAUGUAAUGCUUCUGUGUUUCAAGAUAUUGUUGAAAUGAUAGUCUAAUUAUUUUGAUAUUAAUCGAGAAGCUCACUUCUGCUAUCUGUUAUAACAGUAUUACAGUCGUGCUCCUGCAUAAUUUUGCCCCAUACUCUCUUUCAGUUGCGGCAAGGUGUGUGAAAUUUUGUUCACAAAUUAUGCAACCAACUGUAUUCAGUUAUAUUAAUUGUACUUAAUGUUUCUUCUACGUUUGUAGUGUUCGGGUUUCAAGUGAAUUAGGGGCUGGAAAUGCAAAGGCAGUUCGGAGGACUGUCUGGGUAGUUAUGGUUCUUGGUGUUACAGAGAUGAGCAUUUCAGCUUUAGUAGUUUUCAGCCUGCGUAAUAUUUUGGGACGUGCAUUUGUGAGCGAUAACCAAAUAGCGGCCUAUGUGAGGAGAAUGACUCCAUAUAUAUGUCUCACAAUGAUCUUUGACAGCAUUCAUCGGAUACUUUCUGGUAAUCAACUUAGUAAUAUGUUUUUCAUUUUUUUCAGAAUGUGUAGUCCUCUUCGCUUUUUUAACCAUGUUCUAUGAAUUCGUAGGAGUUGCCAGAGGAACCGGGUGGCAGGGCCUUGGGGCUUGCGUGACUCUCGGGGCAUAUUAUCUAGUCGGAAUUCCAGUGGCUCUACUGUUGGGGUUUCUGGUGCAUUUGAGGGCCAAGGGUCUUUGGAUUGGUUUAUUAACAGGAGGUCUGGUGCAGAGUCUUCAGCUUGCUAUUAUUACAAGUUUAUCAGAAUGGCAAAAAGAGGUUCCGUUUUCUAAACUGGCUUCCUCGCGUAUUAUCUUAACAUUUCAUUUCAAAAGUAUUAGGAAAAUUAAGGGUUGAAUAUAGUUCUGCAAAAUGUGAAACAUAUACAAAUUGAAAAUGAGCAUUUCUGUUUCAGGUAGAAAACACGAGGGCAAGGGUGCUUGACUCGAAGUGAGAAAAGGUUUCGCCAUUAGGCUCCCUGCACAACUGCAGCCGGAGGUGAAGACCAGUUACAUGAGUACCUCAGGAUAUGUACCUUGGAUUCUCCUGUGUGUUUCGAUGUUUCUGUAGUUCAAGCUUAAAAAGCAACACUGAAUAAUCUUCAGAAAAGCAUUAAACUAAAGAAUAGAAAUACUUGAAUUACUAUCGGAAAACUGAGCAUCUGGCUACAUAAAACUGGAAAAAAUCACAGUAAUAGUUUAUAAUUACAGAAACAGAUUUACAUAUAUGUGCAGCUAAGCUAAGCAACCAAUAGAAAAAUUCACUGCCGUUAUUAGUGUUGUACAGGUAUGUAAUACUUGGCGUGAUACUCAGGUGUCUACUUUUUUUACGUCUUCAAAUCCUGAAGAUGAGACCGAUCAUCGAUACACUUUCAGCAGUCAGCUGAUCACAUAAUCGAGCAACUGGGGUCACUGUAGGAAUCUCUGACCUCAUAAACAGGUUGAUAACUCGGAACCUGUCCAGCAUAAUAGUAAUUAUAAGGGUAACUAUUCUGACCAUAAACUUGAAAAUAAGGCUUCUUCUCAUCUUUCUUUUCAUCUUUAGCCGGACCAACACUCACUAAAUCUGCACUCCCCACAUUCUUUCGCAACAAUUUAGCAAGCUGGACCGUAUCAAUUUCAUUUCCGACCACCUCUAGCUUAUCCUUGUUAUCUCCCUUUAUUGCUACUGAUUCUACCCCUGCAUACAUACAUAACAUCAAUCAAUGAAUCAUGAGAAACAUAUGCAAACCGAGUCACGGACAGAACCAAGAAAGGCUAACCAAGAUUAAAACCCUGACUAAGUCUAAAAUUUGAGUAUAAAUUAUUUUUUUAAUCCCACGUUUAGUUAAAAUCUUAUUCAGCAACUCGACAAGCAGAGAGACUGUUUUCGUGAAAUCGUGUUGGUUUCGAAAGAAAUAGAGUUCUUACCGGGAAAAGUAGCUGCAAUCUUCAUGGCCUUGGCCUUGGACUUCUUGGGAUCAGACAUGUCCACUCUGAUCACCACCUUUUGCUGCAAAAAAAUUGUGCAAAAAUGAAUUUAGCUAUGCAAGGUAGUAAAUAUACAAGGAACUAAUAAAAAACAUUUUUGCUAGCUGAAUUGUAGUACCUUCAUUUUGUGCCCGGUAUCUUUGGAGGAAAUUGUAAGAGAAGCAGAGGGUAAGAUUGAGUAUGAACAUGCAACAAUUUAUAUAGGGGAUCGAGGAUAUGAUUGGAAGCCUUAAAAACAUUAGUCGUCAUGAUAUGACGUCAAGAGGACAAUUGUAUGAGCUAAUAAUAUUUUUAUAUAUUAUUUUUCAAAUUUUAUUUUUUGAAUAAAAGUUUAAGAUCAAUAUUUUUAUUGAGAAAUAAAAAUUGAAAAACGAUAUUUAGAAUUAUGUUUUUCACCUCAAACUAUGUGUAAAAUAUCAAAAUGAUUAUUAUCUUGAAAUUGGAGGAGUAUUCAAAUUACAAUAUACAAGGUGCCGGACAAGAAAAGUCAUCAGGAAAUCGAUACGAUAAAAAAAAUUUCUAAAUAUAAAUUUAAUAUACGUUUGAAUAAAAUAUAUGUAACCAAAUUUUAAUUUUUAGACAAAUUACUUUUAUUAUUAUUUUAAUUUAAUUUUUUUUUUGCCGGAUUUAAUUUUGGUCUCUAUAUUGUAUAGCUAAAUAAAAAUCUAGCAGUCUUUGGACAGCAAUGUCGGUCCAAAGAAAAGGAUUAGCGCAAUCUUGGUAAUCAGAUCUCAUAAUAUUGUUAGACAUACAAACAGAAGAAUAACAAAAUCAUUACGCACAGUGCAGCUGGACAAACAUUUGGAUCUCCGACCGAGUAUAGUACGGAGUAUUCUAUUGCAGUGUUUAUAUAUUCAGCAGGCUUAUACUCUCUGUCCCGCUCAUUUUUUUAAAUCAAAAUUUUAUUUAGAAAAAGAAAAUUCAAAAUAAUUGAUCAAACUACGUUUUAUAUGUUUUAUAAGAGUAUUCGAAUGCGUGUCGAGUCCCCGUCUCCCAAUGUAAACAAAUGAGAGUAUUAGAUGCGUGUCGAAUCCCCGUCUCCCAAUGCAAACAAAUGAGGGGGAUUGAGGGAGUAUAUUCUUGUAUUCAUGUAUUUUUGAAAGUGUAAAUUUAUUUGAUAUUUUUAUUUUUGAAUUACUUAUUACAAAUUUAAGGAGUCUGUGAACAUGUAUGAGGACAGAUAUUUUUUUUCUUAUUUUGUUUGGACGGGAAAUCGAAGAUGGAUCUUUCCUCUCAAAUAUUGAAAUUUAAAUGUUCCACAAUGAUUAUAUGAUAAUUUUGUUAAGGAAACUCCUUUUUCCAACUAUUCUAAUUCGAUAUAAUUGAUUUAAAUGUCUCGUAUCUUUAUAAAAAUCUUCAAUAUGCGGUAAUUAAGGCCCCGCGUCGCGUGAAUCAAUUAAAAUAACAUGUUAAUUACAAUAAUGUAUUUUAAGCUGCAGGCGGUCAUUUUAUUUCACAUACAAAUAUACAAUUAACAUAUUUAUGUGGAAAAAAUGUAUCCAUACGCAACCCAUCAAUAUUUUAUGGUAUGCAAAUCCCUCUGUUCAUGUAUGGUCAAUGCAUAUCUUCAAAGUCAAUGGAGCUAGAUGUUGAUUUUUACAAAAUAAAAUUAUUUAUUUUUUAAUAUAGGAUGAUUCCCAGUGUUUUACAUUUUUUUCAUAUUAAUGUAUACUGCUUGUGCAUUACAGAUCACUAGUAAAGUGACCAGUUGAUUUUAAGAAUUAGUAGUUUCGCAACUGGGAAGAGAAUAGGUGAGAUGAGAGAGUAUGAGACUACAGUUUUGCUUGGGCUCGAAGUAUUAACUAGAAGUUUAUAAUUUAAUAUAAGUAUCGACAGCUAUUAAAAUAUUAUUGAAGACUUGACGGAAAAAAAUGGAGGGACUGAUUCUUGAUUUCAAAGGUAUGAGUGUGAUAUACUCCCUCCGUCCCCUAGUUGGUUUAAAUUAGGAGACGGACUCACACACAACAUUUUAAUGUUUUCAUAACAUGUAAUUUGAUAAAUUAUAUUGAAUUUUUUUUCUAAAUAGAUUUUUACUAUUUAAAUUUUUAUAAAAAAAAGUUCAAAAGGAAUUAUAAAAAUAUGUUUUACAUGUGCUUUAAAAUACAUGUCGAGCAACGUAAAAGAAAUACAAAGAAAUGAGGGAGACAGUGGAGGAUUAAACAGGUAUACAAAGACGAGCGUGGCAGGUAUUUUUUGUUAUUGUCGAACAUCAAAGUUCGACUUUCGCUCGUUCCAGAAAAGUUUUGAAAUUAUGAAAAAAAAAUAUUAAAAUGAUAUAUGAUUACAAUAAACAAAUGAAAAAGAGAAUAUUCGAAACCAAAUCAUAUAAAUAAAAGGUUGAGUAAUUAAUUUAUUUAAUGUUUUCUUUUUUUUCAUAAUCUUAUUUAAUGUUUUUUUAGUUGCAAAUGAAUAUUUAAGUAAGCAACAGAAUAAUCUACUAGCAUUUUUAAAUUUGUUGAUAUAAAUAAAUUUUAUGCAGGAAAAUAUGGUUUUCAGAAAGAAAAUUGAAGAAGAAAAGAAAAGGGCACGUUUUAUUUUGGCGAAAAGGAGAAGCCAACUUUGGCAAGAAAGGUUAUAGUUGCUUGAUUCCUCGACUUAAAGUCCGGUCCGUCUACUUCAUUGGUAGAUAUUUCUAGAAUCAUGUCAUAAAGCAUGUCUUCUUUACCCGUCACACGAAUUGUAUAAGUAUGUUUUCGAAUUUCAUUGCUCUGGACCAAAAGGGAAAAGAAUAAGGAGUUUUAAUUUAUUAUUGAUUAUUGAUUUUAAAUUAAAAUUUAUUUAUAUAAUAAAUUAGAAGAUGGUUUAGAUUACAAAUAUAAAUCACAAUUUUAAAUUCAGUAAAACGAAUUUGAAACUUCAUUUUAUAUGUGAUCAUUACUUUUUAAAAAGAAACUUCAAAUUUUAAUUAGCCACCUAUAAAUUAUGCAAGAAUACUAGGGCCUCCAUAAAUUUCUACAUAUCUUAUGAUUAACAAUCUCAUAUAAAUAAUGACCUGAUCAAAUCGAUAAUUAACCGAAGCAUCGAGAUGAUAUAACAAAAAAAUCACGUCUACGGAAUUUUUCUGUCAAAAUGUGAUAAAACAUAUUUAUCUACUCAUACAAUAAUUCCGAAAAAUGAAAAUGAAAGACAUUUUGGUCACAGGAUCGGUUCAGCUAGUUAAAAAAGAGACACAAGUUCUAUUCCGGAAAAAGCAGAAUUUAUGAUGCGGCUUCUAUGUUAAAAAAAAAAACACCUAAAUAAUUGAAAAAUGGCUUAGCUGGCUUGUUGUAAAUGACUUGGAUUUAAUGUCCACAUAAUUUGGCAAAUAUCACUUUACAUACUGCCGUCCUUUUGAAAAUCUGUCAUUUGCUCACCAAAACCCACUUAACUUGUGACAACUAGACACUCUUUUAUUUUAAUUUGCUAGAACUCAAAAGUAUUUUAUUGUUGUACUAGGAGUAAUUUAAUAAUUUAUCAUUGCUUUGAAUUCUUCAACCAAGAAAAUUCUACUAGUCUGUUAUAAUAUGUACGUAUGUAUUUAUUUAUUUAUCAGAUUUUGAUCAUGAUCUUCUACCUACAUAAUUAUUUAUUUGAGGAUCACCUACUAUAGACAAAGUUGUUUUCGUAAAUUUUUUGAAGAAUAAAGUUAAAUUAAAUUUGAAAUUUUAUUUUGAACAUGAAAAUUAAAAAAAUGGACCUUUCCUUUUCAUACACUUAGAUCAGCUUACAUCACUAAAAUGUACUUAAAAUGGGAUUGGAUACCAGAUAUAUCGAAAAAAUUAUUAUAUAGCGUGUGUUUGGCAACCCCGACUUAUGGCUUAUUUAUAAAAAAAGAGAGUUUCAGUUUUUUUCAGAGUAUUUGGGUAACUUAUAGAAGCAUUUAAAAUGGUGCUUAGAGCAAGUCCAAGAGAUGCCCUAUAUCAUGUCCUAAGUUAUAAUUUAGGACAAUUGAUCAAAAAAUUUGAUCCAACAAUGUCCUAGUGAUGCCUUAUAUCACUAGGACAACCUCUCAAGCCCUAUUUUUGGGGCCCUAUUCAAUAUUUUAUUAUAAAUUCUCAUCACACUCUCUUUCUCUCUCUACUUUUAUAUUAUGCUUAAAUGAUGAAAGAAAGUCUUUAAUAAUAAAAUAUUAAACAUAAUGCGAGAAUAAGGCACAUUGUUGGAGUUCAAGUUAGUAAAGUAUGUCCUAAAUUACUAGGACAUAAUAUUUUAUAUUAUAUUUGAGGCAUAAACUAGGACACUCUUGGACUUGCUCUUAAGAAGCCAAGAAAAAAAACUAGAGAUGAUUUGGAGCUUCUUUGUGACUUAUAAAUCAUGGGUAUCCAAACACUUAUAAAUAAUUCACUUCUUUACUUUAAGUAAUAAGACAUUUCUUUUAAGCGCAGCCAAAUGGCCCCAUUAUCAAAAGCGAUCUGCGUAAAAAAUCAAGCUAAUUGAAAGAGCACAUGUAGUAUUAAACUGAAAUUUUGGGCCGACAAAAUAUAAGAUCUUCCAAUCCAGUGGAUAAAAAAAUAUCCAGGCCCAAAUUCGUUUGAAAAAAUGAUGGGCAACUAUAGAUGGGCCCGACCAACCUUAAAAGGGGGGCUGCGAACAAUACAUGUCCCAUGGGCCAUUCUAUAAGCUUGUGUAAACAGUUUAUUGGAUUUCAAAUACCUCUUGUACUUUAGAAUGGAUUGAUCAUCUCUGAUUAUUCCAAAAAAUAACGCAUCGAGAAUACUAGAGUGAAAUUUUUUAACGAAAGAGAUGAUAUGACAUUAAUUCGAAAACUCUAGUUAUUUUUAGAACAUACAUUUGAGAAUUAUCUUUCGGAAAAAAUUCACAUCUAUAUACAAAUUUUUCAAAGAGACCAUAUUAUUAUAAUAUUAUUAAAAAAAUCGCAUGAGCAUGAACAUUAGAAUCACUGAUCAGCUGUUUUUCAAGUUAACCACCAGUACUUGUGAAAUUUCAUUGAUGCUUCUGCCAACUUGUUUAAACCAAGCUCUGUCCCGGGUCCCUUAACUAUGACAGUUAGUUGCCUGUCCUAAUCUCCCUCACAUAUACACAUAUUAUUUUGUUUAAUUAAUCAUUUAUUAUUAACACUAACCAAUUUUUGAAUAAAAAAUUCGCGUGAUGCACACUGUGAGAAAUAUAUUUGAAAAAGAAUCUAUAUAUAUUUUCUGCAUGAAACGGUUGACUAUAUUAUCAUCACAUUUUUUCAAUUAUGAAAAAAUUAUAUAUUAUAUUACUUGAUUAAUCAUAUAUAUACCCCUGAUUUCAUGCAAAAUGAAGUUGACGUAAGUUAAGAGGAAAGAUCGGGAUUAUGACAUGUACUUACAUCUAAUUACUUCUCAUUAUUACAGUUAAUACAUCAAUAUCAUGUACUCCCUUCAACAUAAAAUAUACACCCAACAAAAAUAUUUGAUGAAAAAAUGUGAUAUUUAUAGCACAAGUGACCGGUUUAUUAUCAUUUCUGACUAAAGUAAAUUUGUUACUUUCUUCCCUGUCUUAUCUAAAAAAUCGGGCGUUUUAGUCAAAUUAUUAAUAUUGUAUUUACUUUUUAAAAUAUUUCAGGAGAAAAUUAUGCAUAUUGUAAUUCAUCAUGGAAAAUAUUAAAUCCAGAGCACGUUUUAGUUCCAAAACAUAUUUAAUUCUCAACCCCUUUAUCUACACAAAUCACACACUUUCAAUAUAAAUUCUAACAAAUUGCUCUGGAUAUUGAAAGAUUGCUCUCGAUAUAACAUUUCCUUUCAUCAUUCAUACAAUUUAUGAUACACGAUAUAUAACGGGAUUGACCUUCGGUUCGUAGAUCUUAAAAGGAAAGAUGUAUAUUAGUUAGGGUCUUUCUAAUGUGUGCCCAAGGGCAUACAAUAAACACUAACUUUGAUGAGUUUGGUGGGUUUUUAUUGGUGGACUUGGUGCAAAUGCAGGGGGGGCCAUCCAUAUUUAUAAUUGGAAGACCAAUAAAAAUGCAUCAUACUCAUAAAAGUUAGCGCUUAGUGUGUGCCAAUGGGCACAACACAGAAAAACCGUAUUAGUUAUAAGUUAUAUCAACGAAAACAAGUGGAGAUUGCUUAGCGCACGAUAAUUUGUAUGGAUGAAGUUGACCUCCAUAAUAUAUUUCAUAUAAAUAUUAGCCAGAGUCUUACGAGCCGUUAUCACCGUCACUGUAUUGAUGAUAAACAGCUGCGCAGCUCUGUCAAAAAAAACACGCACGAACUCUCGAUUUUUUAUUAAUAUUAUAGCAUAUACUAAUUUGAGCGGAAUUAUUAUUAACAAACAGUGUUCUAAAAAUCCCCGAUUUAACCGAUUAAUCCCCUACAAGGUCGGUCAUCGAUCCGAUUAAUCCUUAUAUAUAUAUUUAUUAAUAAUUGAAGUAUAUAUGAUAAAUUAUUAGAAUUAAAAUACUAUAUUACUUUAAAUAUGAGUAAUUAUAAAAUUUAUGAAUAUAGUAAAUAUAUUAGUUACUAAAUAGCUAAUAUAAUAAUAACUAAAUAUUAAAUAAUAUUUUAAUAUUAAAAUAAAUCCGAUUUUCACACCGAUUAGUCCUUCCGAUUAAUCCCCGAUUUCCGAUUAAUCCCUGAAUCGGUAGCUCAACCGAUUAGGUCUGAUUCCCGAUUUCUGUAACACUGUUAAUAGAACAAAAUCCAAUAAUUGGAUAAUUAGGACUGAUCAUUAGUGAAAACAAUAAUCAUCCCGAAACAAGAAGAAACAUUCCCAGCAGUUUACAGAAAAUUGCAAGUAUAUAUCACUGUCUAUGAACAGACCUUCAAGAGUUUGAAGACCUAACAGAAUUAAUUGCGAUUAUUUUUUAACUUCUUUUUCGCCAUUCUCGCAGAAAUUUAAUCAAAAAUCACACCAUUAUUGACUAAAUUAUCGAUUUUCGGUUUUCAGAUCGGGUAUCAGACGGGAUUCACAUGAUGGAGCAAGAAGGGUCGCGGCAAUACGGCUCGUAACUAUAGCAUGGAGCAGGACCGUAAUUGUACGGAGGGUAAUAGUAAUAUAUGGGCACGAAAUCGUUUUUGUCGUCUUUCUUGUCAUCCUUCUUCUCGUCCUUCUUGUCGUCUUUCUUCUCUUCGGGUUUGAAUGGACCGACGCUGACUAAAUCUGCACGGCCGACGUGUUUUCUCAGACACUUGGCGAGCUCCACCGUGUCGAUUCCUUCUCCGAUCAGCUCUAUCUGGUCCUUGUCAUCACCCUUCAAUGCUACUGAUUCAACCCCUGUUUAACAAAUUUCAAAAUAUAACUAAUAAAUUACAUAUGUCCAGCGAGAAGAACAAGAAAUUGGUAUAUGUCUUUGUAAGCGCUUCUCCUAAUAUUUUGGUAUUUUAGGAGAGUUGAUCAUUUAAAAUUUUGAAAGAAUCAUUCACUUGACAUGAUAGAACUCAAAUAUAUUAAAAAAUUUCUGAGUUCAAUUUCCUGUCAUUUUCAAUAUUCUCAUAUUUGAUUAUGAAGAUCGAACAAGAAAUUACCAUCAGUAGUAGCUGCAAUCUUCAUGGCCUUGACGCGAGAUUUCUGAGGGCAACACAUGGUCACUUUGAUAACCACCUUUUGCUGCAACAAAAUAUCGAAAAAAUUAUAAGAAUCGAAGAAUUAACACGCACACAUAUGCAUUAGAGACGGUAAUACUGUAGUUACACAUGCAGGAGGUCGAGAAUUUGAAUCUUGUAAAAUACGAAAUGCGGAUCUGUUUAAUUAUCGGGAAUAAUAAACAAUAACCGAUGAUAGACAUACCUUAGCCAUGGUGUUAGUGGGUGGUGAAUGGUGAGUAGCGUGUUGCUAAAUUUGGAGGGAGAGAGCAGUUUCGUAUUGGUUGAAAAUGAGACUGGCGAUAUGCAUUUAUAUAUACACGCAAACACAGUGUAUUCAAUUAGGAUUUUAAUGAUUUGUUUUUAGUCUAUGAAUUUUAAUGGAUUGUGUGUUAUUUUGAUUUUGUGCAGAUUCUUGAUAAAAUAUCGCAGAGUUUUUUUGUUUUUGUUUUUUUUGAAAAAAAAUGUCGCAGAGUUGAUAGGAUUUAAGCAUAAUGAUUCAAAAUCCCAUUGGUUUUGAUGGGAUUUCAAAAAACUUAAAAUACACUAAAAAAUGCCAAAAAAUCCAUCAUUUUAUGAAAUCCAAAAAAAUCCAUUAGCAUUUGAAUAACUCAUGAUUUUAAUGGAUUUUAAACAAUCCCAAUUGAAUACCAUCGGAUUUUAAAGUAUAAUUUAAAAUCCCAAUUGAAUAUCACCAGAUUUUGUAGCAUAAUUUAAAAUCUCAAUCGAAAACCUCUAGAUUUUAACGGAUUUCAAACAAUCCCAAUCGAAUACUUUAGAAUUUCAUAAAUGCCAAAAAAAUCUUUAAAAUCCCAAUUUAAUACACCCCUCAUAGCAAAAUAAUACUAGUUGAGUCGUCACAAGUCUACGUCAGGGGUGACUCUUUACUAGUAGCCAGAUGCUUAAACUAAUAAUCACAAUCAUGAUUAACAUUAGCGACUAACAAUGCAUUAGCAACGCGUUCGGAUUAAUAAUUAAUUUCGACGUGCAUGCAUAGUCAGUCAGAGACUCAGAGUAAGUCGCGUCAGUCAGUCGCAAUGUGUGGAGGCAAUUUUGGAUCGAUGUACCACCGUGCUCUUAAAAAAAAAGUCCAGUUGUGUACCCAUCAGUAUAAUUCAGCUGCAAUCGCUGUUUAAAGAUAUCCGGUUGAUCCUUCAAAUAUAUUUUAUCAAUUCGACUAAAUAUAUUUGAUUAAUAAAAAAGAUAACUUUUUUGAAUUAAUAGAUAAAUUGAUUAGUUAAAAUUCGGGUUAAUUAUCAAGUUGGUCACUGAAGUGGGCUUAAUGUAUCAAGUUGGUCACUGAACUCAAAACGGUAUCAAGAUGGUCACUGAAGUGGCCAUAAAUAUCAAACAAGUACCUUGAAAUAUGAGUUCAAGCACUAAAAAUAUUAUUUAUAAAAUUUUACACAUUAUUUUUAAAUGUUAUCACAACCAACUAAAAGGUUAUGACUUCUAGUAUUUAAAAUAACAUAUUUAUAUUUUAUCAAGUUUAUUUAUUAUUUAUAUUUUAUUAUAUAGUUAUUUUUUGUUUUAAUUAAAAAUAAAUAUUAAAUAAACUUGAUAACAUUUAAAUUUUUUGUCAUAAAUAUUUGAAGUCAUGACCUUUUACUUGGUUUUGGUAACAUCCAAAAAUAAUGUGUAAAACUUUAUAAAUAAUAUAUUUACUACUUGAACUCAUAUUUCAAGUUACUUGUUUGAUAUUUACGGCCACUUCAGUGACCAUCUUGAUACCGUUUUGAGUUCAGUGACCAACUUGAUACAUUAAGCCCACUUCAGUGACCAACUUGAUAAUCAACCCGUUAAAAUUCUCAAAGUCAAAAAUUAAGGGUCAGAAUAAUUCAAAAAUCGAUGUGUUCUGAUUUUAGCAUAAUUGUUCUUCUAAUUAAUAAAAAUGUUUAAUUCCCGCCAUCCAGUAAAUUUUUCCUACUGACAAAAAUAAUAUAAUUAGACAGACAAUUCAAUGGUGCUCGAUUAAUAGAAGUGGGUGUUUGGCCACCUUUUUAAGCCGGACUUCUCGACUUAUAAGUUAGAGCACUUAUUUCGUACCGUUUGUGUAAAAAGUCAAGAAGCACUUAAUAAAAGUUAGGAAUGCUAGCUUCUGUUUCAGGGCUUCUACUUAUUUCUCAAACACUUUAAUCACUUAUAAGUCUUAUCUUGCUUUUAAAUUCUACUCCACUUAUUUAUUUUAAGUAAUAAACAUUUAUUUUUAAUUCACCCAAACAGUCCCGAAAUAAGUUAAUUGAGGCUACUGAAGGUUGCCGUGAUUGAUAAAUUUGGGGAGCUGAGUGCGACUGAUAUACGACCAAUUUAAUUAUGUCACCGUCUAUGAAAUCGAAAGGAAGGCAAUAAACCACCCACUUAGCUAGUACUUCAGCGCUGCUUAAUUGGACUAUCUCAUCUAUUUUACUCCGCCUGCAGUGGCGGAACCAGGACUAAAUGUUAAGGGGGGCUGAAAAAUAUUUCGUCAUCUAUACUUGCAUAAAUAACUUUCUCAAUAUAUAUCAUCAUACUAUCAUUUAUUCAUGCAUCUUCGAUCCUAUUACGCUGAUAAGUCUUGAUUGCUUUCAUAGCAAAAAAAUCUCUCUCAACAGUAGCAAUGACAACCGGUAAAACCAGAUCUAACUCAACCAGAAGAUAAACUAAGGGAUAAGCAGUGUGUUUGUGUGUUUUACCCAUCAUGACAGAAAGAUUUCCUAUAUUUUGAAGUCCAGAUUAAUCUCCGCUCUCAUAUCAUAGAUAAAAUUGUGUAACUGAUUUGGCAACAACUCCAAGUCUAGUAAAGAAAAAUCCUUUGGAUAAAAUUGUGCAAGGCAGACCAGUUUUGAGUUAUUGAAAUCUGAAAAUUAAUUUUUAGGAUCUAAAGAGUCAAUACAAAGUAGUAGCUCUAUAUUUCCUAGCACCUCUUCAAGAACUUAAGAGCUCUAUUUGCUUACUCAGCAAUGAGGAGCACACUUUCCCUUUUAACUAUAUUUUAUAUUAUUUUUCUAAUGUACAAAGUACUCGGCAUGCAUCAUACAGUUUGCAUGAUCUAGUUGCUCUGAGUGUAUCUGUUUAGGAUCUAAAGAGUCAAUACAAAGUAGUAGCUCUAUAUUUCCUAGCACCUCUUCAAGAACUUAAGAGCUCUAUUUGCUUACUCAGCAAUGAGGAGCACACUUUCCCUUUUAACUAUAUUUUAUAUUAUUUUUCUAAUGUACAAAGUACUCGGCAUGCAUCAUACAGGUUGCAUGAUCUAGUUGCUCUGAGUGUCUCUGUUUGAAUGUAUUUGUUAAUUAGACUCUCUUUAGACUAAGUGUCUUCUCUUUUCUUCUUUUAUAUUAAAUCCCUCUUUAUGACAUUUAUAAUUCAGCGGGGCUAAUAAAAUUAUAUUGACAUCACAAAUUCGGCGGGGGUGCUGAAAAGAAAAUAUACACUGUAUUUUUGAGGUUAGGGGGGUUCUAGCAUCCCCUAGCCCCUCUGGUUCCGCCACUGUCCGCCUGUGUGAAUUAUUUUUGAGAAUUAAAGCGUUGAAACUCUCGUUUUCACCUAGCUGUGCACACGUAUCUUUUUCUGAUUUGAGAGCAAUUUGUGUAUUAUUUCUAUGUUGCCCCAGAAAAAAUAAUUAGAGACAACAUCAGGAUAAAAACAGGAGUAAACGACGGUAAGGAAUUAAGGGUUUCAUCCACGAGCUUCCAGAUUUUGCAAUCGGCUCUCGCUGAAUUCAAGAUUAUUAUCAAAAUAAUAUUAAUUUUAAAUAUCACAAAUUUCCUGUUUUGAAGCUGGGAAAUAAGUCUGGAAAAUAAAUUGUUAGCACUGAUUUGUAUUACCGAGAUCUAGGCUAUUCAUCAUACACGAGGUCCAAAUAAGUCAUUUCAAAAUACAUUGAUAAAUAGUAGGUAAAUUCUUUAUACAUGUACACGAGAGGACUUAAUAUCAUUAUAUACUAAAUUAUUUCAAAAUAAAUCAAAAUGCUCAAAAUCAUCUAAAUUCAUUUUGAAAAGUUUGCGUGUUGAUUUUACUAACGACAAUUAUAGGCUGUCUCUCAUUUAUAGUUUCUGUACGCGGUACCGGAUUUUAAAACGUUACUUUUCCGAGUAAUUCCUCGUGUCGCUUUGACAGCGACAUCAUUUUUGUGUCACUUUGAUUUUUCCUAUGGCUGGUCAAGUCUACUUUGGCAAGUAAACGGAGAGUGCUUUGUUUGUUAAGCGCAUGAAUGGUGCUAAUAAAAACGGUUUUUCUGUGGUGUGCCUAUGAGCACACACUAAACGCUAAUUUUUAUGAGUAUGAUGAUAUUUAUUGAUCCUCUAAUCAUAAAUAUGGAUAGCCCUUCUGCAUUUGCAUCAAGUCCAUCAAUAAAAACCCACCAAACUUAUCAAAAUUAAAAUUAGUGUUUAUUGUGUGCCGUUAGGCCUACAUUACGAAGACCCAAUCAAGAAAUACUCGUAAUAUUCUUGGGCUAUGUUAGAAAAUUAAACAUCGAUUGAGACUCUAGUAUCACCUGUAGGCAACUUAGGGAAAAAAAAAACAAGAAGCGACAGUUUUGUAUACAUUUAGCAGGUGAAAGUGUGAAACACUUAAUUCAAUUUACGACAUCACAUCCACAACUUCCACUUUUUCAUAAUUCCGAAUAAAUUAAACGAUAUAACAUGAAGACCCAUAUAUUUUCUAUAAUGUAUUUACAAUAUUUUCGCUGCCUAGAGCAUCUCCAAAAGAGAUAUCUAUAACUGUUAGCUAAGAGUGUAAAUAUAGAUGAUUAUGUAAAAAUUUGUUAAACCUGGAAGCUUUUUGCUCCAAUGGUGUUAGACAUAUGGUUAGCUAUAUUUUAAAAUUCGGUUAUUUUGUUAUUUUCAGAUUCUAAUAAUUAUAUUUUAAAAUAAUAAUUAAUUAUUGUGAAUAAGUUUCAUAAAUAACUUUCUUAUAAAUAAAUUCAAUUAAAUAAUUAUUUCAUAUUAUUAUAAUUAUUUCUUAUAAUUAUUUCUUAUAAUUAUUGUCUAAAUUUAAUCAAAUCAAGUUUUUUAUACAAGGAUAUAUGUUAUUUUUAUUAGUUAAAAUAAAAUUUCAAGAGCAAGAUAAUAGUUUUGUAAAAUCAUAUGUGACUAUAUAUCCAGCUCAUGUGUAUAUCACAUUUUAUUUUUAUAUUUAAAUAACAUAUAAAUUAUUUUCACAUAAAAAAAUAUAUUUUUCAUAUAACUCAAAACGCUGUAAAUUUCACAAACAAAAAUGAGAGAUUAUUUUUAACACAAAUAUUAUAUACACAUAUUUGUAUUUAUAAAGUUUUGUUUAUUAAAAUAUGUCCUCUUUUAUAAUUUAAUUUAAAAUUUACAAAAUUAAUAAUUAAAUUUAACUUUAUUAUCAUCAAAAGAAAUUGGACAAAACUAAAUUUAAAUUAAAUUAAAUUCUAUAAUAUAAAAUUAUAAUACUAAUAUAUGUAAUAUAAUUAUUAAAUAUAAAUGAAUGACAAAAGUAUAGAAGUAGGGUACAUUUUAAAGGAAAAUGACGUGGAAAUAAUAUAGAUGAUGGAUUUUCAAUCAACAAAUAUAACGUGCGUAUUUUACGUUAUCUAAAAUUAUUGCUAAGAGGUUACUGCGUUGGAGUAGGCUGUUUUACAACUGUUAUGUAUAUUUUUAAACCCUAGCAUGAUAGCUUAGACAUUAUAUCUAACAAAUGCAUCUUAUAUAGGCGGGUUGGGAAAGUCCGAANGAGGCUACUGAAGGUUGCCGUGAUUGAUAAAUUUGGGGAGCUGAGUGCGACUGAUAUACGACCAAUUUAAUUAUGUCACCGUCUAUGAAAUCGAAAGGAAGGCAAUAAACCACCCACUUAGCUAGUACUUCAGCGCUGCUUAAUUGGACUAUCUCAUCUAUUUUACUCCGCCUGCAGUGGCGGAACCAGGACUAAAUGUUAAGGGGGGCUGAAAAAUAUUUCGUCAUCUAUACUUGCAUAAAUAACUUUCUCAAUAUAUAUCAUCAUACUAUCAUUUAUUCAUGCAUCUUCGAUCCUAUUACGCUGAUAAGUCUUGAUUGCUUUCAUAGCAAAAAAAUCUCUCUCAACAGUAGCAAUGACAACCGGUAAAACCAGAUCUAACUCAACCAGAAGAUAAACUAAGGGAUAAGCAGUGUGUUUGUGUGUUUUACCCAUCAUGACAGAAAGAUUUCCUAUAUUUUGAAGUCCAGAUUAAUCUCCGCUCUCAUAUCAUAGAUAAAAUUGUGUAACUGAUUUGGCAACAACUCCAAGUCUAGUAAAGAAAAAUCCUUUGGAUAAAAUUGUGCAAGGCAGACCAGUUUUGAGUUAUUGAAAUCUGAAAAUUAAUUUUUAGGAUCUAAAGAGUCAAUACAAAGUAGUAGCUCUAUAUUUCCUAGCACCUCUUCAAGAACUUAAGAGCUCUAUUUGCUUACUCAGCAAUGAGGAGCACACUUUCCCUUUUAACUAUAUUUUAUAUUAUUUUUCUAAUGUACAAAGUACUCGGCAUGCAUCAUACAGUUUGCAUGAUCUAGUUGCUCUGAGUGUAUCUGUUUGAAUGUAUUUGUUAAUUAGACUCUCUUUAGACUAAGUGUCUUCUCUUUUCUUCUUUUAUAUUAAAUCCCUCUUUAUGACAUUUAUAAUUCAGCGGGGCUAAUAAAAUUAUAUUGACAUCACAAAUUCGGCGGGGGUGCUGAAAAGAAAAUAUACACUGUAUUUUUGAGGUUAGGGGGGUUCUAGCAUCCCCUAGCCCCUCUGGUUCCGCCACUGUCCGCCUGUGUGAAUUAUUUUUGAGAAUUAAAGCGUUGAAACUCUCGUUUUCACCUAGCUGUGCACACGUAUCUUUUUCUGAUUUGAGAGCAAUUUGUGUAUUAUUUCUAUGUUGCCCCAGAAAAAAUAAUUAGAGACAACAUCAGGAUAAAAACAGGAGUAAACGACGGUAAGGAAUUAAGGGUUUCAUCCACGAGCUUCCAGAUUUUGCAAUCGGCUCUCGCUGAAUUCAAGAUUAUUAUCAAAAUAAUAUUAAUUUUAAAUAUCACAAAUUUCCUGUUUUGAAGCUGGGAAAUAAGUCUGGAAAAUAAAUUGUUAGCACUGAUUUGUAUUACCGAGAUCUAGGCUAUUCAUCAUACACGAGGUCCAAAUAAGUCAUUUCAAAAUACAUUGAUAAAUAGUAGGUAAAUUCUUUAUACAUGUACACGAGAGGACUUAAUAUCAUUAUAUACUAAAUUAUUUCAAAAUAAAUCAAAAUGCUCAAAAUCAUCUAAAUUCAUUUUGAAAAGUUUGCGUGUUGAUUUUACUAACGACAAUUAUAGGCUGUCUCUCAUUUAUAGUUUCUGUACGCGGUACCGGAUUUUAAAACGUUACUUUUCCGAGUAAUUCCUCGUGUCGCUUUGACAGCGACAUCAUUUUUGUGUCACUUUGAUUUUUCCUAUGGCUGGUCAAGUCUACUUUGGCAAGUAAACGGAGAGUGCUUUGUUUGUUAAGCGCAUGAAUGGUGCUAAUAAAAACGGUUUUUCUGUGGUGUGCCUAUGAGCACACACUAAACGCUAAUUUUUAUGAGUAUGAUGAUAUUUAUUGAUCCUCUAAUCAUAAAUAUGGAUAGCCCUUCUGCAUUUGCAUCAAGUCCAUCAAUAAAAACCCACCAAACUUAUCAAAAUUAAAAUUAGUGUUUAUUGUGUGCCGUUAGGCCUACAUUACGAAGACCCAAUCAAGAAAUACUCGUAAUAUUCUUGGGCUAUGUUAGAAAAUUAAACAUCGAUUGAGACUCUAGUAUCACCUGUAGGCAACUUAGGGAAAAAAAAAACAAGAAGCGACAGUUUUGUAUACAUUUAGCAGGUGAAAGUGUGAAACACUUAAUUCAAUUUACGACAUCACAUCCACAACUUCCACUUUUUCAUAAUUCCGAAUAAAUUAAACGAUAUAACAUGAAGACCCAUAUAUUUUCUAUAAUGUAUUUACAAUAUUUUCGCUGCCUAGAGCAUCUCCAAAAGAGAUAUCUAUAACUGUUAGCUAAGAGUGUAAAUAUAGAUGAUUAUGUAAAAAUUUGUUAAACCUGGAAGCUUUUUGCUCCAAUGGUGUUAGACAUAUGGUUAGCUAUAUUUUAAAAUUCGGUUAUUUUGUUAUUUUCAGAUUCUAAUAAUUAUAUUUUAAAAUAAUAAUUAAUUAUUGUGAAUAAGUUUCAUAAAUAACUUUCUAAUAAAUUCAAUUAAAUAAUUAUUUCAUAUUAUUAUAAUUAUUUCUUAUAAUUAUUUCUUAUAAUUAUUGUCUAAAUUUAAUCAAAUCAAGUUUUUUAUACAAGGAUAUAUGUUAUUUUUAUUAGUUAAAAUAAAAUUUCAAGAGCAAGAUAAUAGUUUUGUAAAAUCAUAUGUGACUAUAUAUCCAGCUCAUGUGUAUAUCACAUUUUAUUUUUAUAUUUAAAUAACAUAUAAAUUAUUUUCACAUAAAAAAAUAUAUCUUUCAUAUAACUCAAAACGCUGUAAAUUUCACAAACAAAAAUGAGAGAUUAUUUUUAACACAAAUAUUAUAUACACAUAUUUGUAUUUAUAAAGUUUUGUUUAUUAAAAUAUGUCCUCUUUUAUAAUUUAAUUUAAAAUUUACAAAAUUAAUAAUUAAAUUUAACUUUAUUAUCAUCAAAAGAAAUUGGACAAAACUAAAUUUAAAUUAAAUUAAAUUCUAUAAUAUAAAAUUAUAAUACUAAUAUAUGUAAUAUAAUUAUUAAAUAUAAAUGAAUGACAAAAGUAUAGAAGUAGGGUACAUUUUAAAGGAAAAUGACGUGGAAAUAAUAUAGAUGAUGGAUUUUCAAUCAACAAAUAUAACGUGCGUAUUUUACGUUAUCUAAAAUUAUUGCUAAGAGGUUACUGCGUUGGAGUAGGCUGUUUUACAACUGUUAUGUAUAUUUUUAAACCCUAGCAUGAUAGCUUAGACAUUAUAUCUAACAAAUGCAUCUUAUAUAGGCGGGUUGGGAAAGUCCGAAACAUAAACAUGCAAUAAUAUUUACGUUACAUUUAUAUUUUACAAAUGGGUAUAUGGUUUCAAAACUUUUUACAUUUAUAUCUCAUAGUAUUGGAUAUUUGGUUUCGAAACUUAUACCCGCAAUAAGUAUGCAACACUGUUAAAGCUGUUAACGUUUUUUAAUCGAAUCAGAUUAAAAUGAGCCGUGAGAACUUUUUCAUAGUUGAGUUAAAUCUGCUAAUGUUUAAUAAUAAUCGAGUCGGAUCUAAAUUAAUAUGCCUAGUUGCUUUUGCAAGUACAGUAAGUGAGAUUCUCCGGGCAGUUAGUUGAACCUAACAAAAUGGUCCAGACAAAACUAUAAUCGACUCAGGUUCACUGACAAACAAUACAGACAAAUUUCCGAGAGUCCGAAUCAGUAUCAUCGGCCUGCUGGCUGCUGUACCCAUUUACUAAUAGAAUAAUCAUUUCUUAAAGCAAAACAAGUCUUUAUUUCAAUUAUCUAUCUAUGUAUACAUAUAUUGUUAAUAGAUAGUACAUUUCAAAUAGAUUUACGAAUCGAAUCGAAUAAGUGAUCACUGUCUAUUGACAAGGAUUUGGAAAAUCAAAUUAUAUAAAUAAAUGAAUAAUAAAUAAAUACUCUAAUUUCUACGUUCCACCACCCAGCGUUACAGUCAGUUGUGUAAAAGUCGUAUUCACAUAGCAGGAGUAGCUGGGGCAAUACUAUUAAUUAAAAAUCGGUGUUUGAUUUUUAUAGUACUCCAAUAAAGUGAACUUCACAAUUCAUUCUCCACGUAUGUUCCCUUUUGUCUUCCAUUGUCAAGUAGCCAAGUACAUUUAUUAUUGCUAUUUUUUAUUUUUACUUUCAGUAACCGGUUGUUGUUUAGAAUGAAUUAGGCCCAUCAACUAACUGGUUUGACUAAUUGACUUACAGGCCCAUCACUGGACUACUGAACUGGUUUGUCUAAUCGGCUUAGACGUAACAGGACCAUUAACUUGGCAACAGAAAAUACAGGGCCCUGCUGGGACUAAAUUUAAAGAAAUAACAGUAUAUGAGUUCAUAUUUAAAAGUUAUUGAUGUUGUAAGAAUGUUAGAAUAUAUUGAUCCUGGUAAAAAAUAUUUGCACAGCACCUUUAAGGUUGCGUUCCCUUGGAUGGAAUGGAAUGAGUAGGGAAUAGAAUGAGAUAUUAUAAAGAGAUACAGAAAGGAGAAGAUAUGAGAAAAUAGUAACUAAAUAUGACUGCUCUAAAUUUUCUAAGACGAAGAUUGUAGAGAAACAUGAUAUAGAAGUGGAUCGAGCAUUCCUUCCGAAACAAACAUGAUAUAGAAGUGGAUCGAGCAUUCCUUCCGAAACAUGUGGGUUUGAUUUUCUAGUGCAAGUAGUUUGGAAUGGAAUGAUUGGAGAAAUGAAAAUUAUAGAUAUUUUCUUUAAUCACCCCCAAUUUAGAGUACAGAUUUCAUUCCAUUUCCCCCCAAUUCCAUCACAUCCAAGUGUAAACAACCCAAGUCUUGGGAAUACUGGUCACUUGCAUGAUACUCCCUCCGUCUCUAAAUGUUUUCACGUUUGCCAACACACACUUUUGAUCGUUAAUAUCUUUCAUUUCGUAGUAGCAUUAAAUAUAAAAACUUCACCGUAUCAAAGUACUCGUGAAUACGAAUCUAAUAAGAUCACUCAUGACUAUAUUUAUUUUUAUAGAUUAGAUGUAAAUUAGUAAUUUGUCUCAUGUUAUGAACAGUACCGACAUCACAAACAGGAAAAUAAAAAAGAAACGGAGGGAGUAUCAAAGAUCAUGGACCGCUGUCCAAGGCUAGUUGCAAAUACAACCAAUUCCAAAUCUAACUACAUUUUUUCCAACUUUUCAACAUUUUAUUUGAAGUAGGUCAACUUUGACUUGCAUUACAACAUAAGUUAGUUUAAUAAAGUGGAAAAAAUGGCUAUAGCUCUCUCUAAUUCUAGAUAUACAACCAAAUAUCCAUUCAUGCAUUUACCCAACCAAGAAUGGCUAUGCAUUGGAUUUUUUAUUUUUAUUUUUUUGUGAAAUUGGUUCUUAAUCAUAGCUAUAAAACUAAAUAUAGAUAAACACCGAACUUCACUGCAACUUACACUAAUUUCAUCCCCCAAGUCAAUCAAUAUAUUGUCCCUCUCCCGUAUACCUGUUUGCCGGUUGUUGGCUGGUUUACAAGUGUUUCCCUUUCGAAGUCUAACUCAGCUUAAGGGGUAACAAUUCAAGAGUGAACUCUCUUUCUAUUGGGAAAGCACUUCCGUUUAAAUAGCAUGGUGACUCAUUCAGUUAGCAGAUAUUGUAAAUUAAUUAAAAACAAAAAUAAUAACCAAAGUAAUACUAAUGGGUCAUUCACCCACCUCAGCCAUAAAUUACACAAUAAAUUGGUAUCCUAGUAUGAAAGCAAUCAGCAUCCUCAAAAGCCAUGUGAACUGUAAGUUUAAAAGGGCUAUCUAGAGGGUUAUUAUUACCUUCCAAAACAUCUUAGUAUUGAGGAGGUUAGAGUAGAAGACAGAAAUUUCAAGCCAGCAGAACCUCCCGGGAAGUAGGAAAGAGCAUAAUACGAAAGUGCAAGAACCUGAUGACAUGAAAACAAUACUGUAAGGUACACAAAUUAAUACUAGGAGUGAUCUUAACUUUAAAUAUUUUGGAAGCGCACAAGUUAACAUUUUGCAGUACCAACUAGUGUAAGGCUAAUUUCAGUGUGCAUGGUUCAAAGGGAUUCUGAAUGAUAAAGGAGAGUUAAUAUCGAAAAAUGAAAUGAAGAAAUAUUUACAGGGACUUGCCAACUAGUUCAAUAGAUAAAGCAUGUGUAUGGCUACCAAUAGUCAUCCAUAAUGUGCUUCAAUUUACUAUUGUAUUGUUACACUAUUGUCAGCCUACCCUUAAUUGACUUCUAUAUAUCAUUGUGCAAGCAGUAGAACCUCUAUCACAUGGAUUGGAUUUUGGAUUUCGGGUCGGGUUUCGGUUCAAAAUGUCUAAUAUCCAUAUCCAAAUCCAAACUCCUUCAGUCCUUCAGGUUUAAAAAAUGAAUCCAAACCAAAAUAUCAGAUUCAGUAAUCGGAUAUUCAUCGGAUCGGAUUUUUCUGCUCCCUAGAUGGUCGCAAACUUAUCUAUCACUGAAGUAGUGAUAGGAGAAGUCCUAUGGAUGAGAAAUAUUUUUUCAUUUUAGGAAUCAUAAAAAUGGAGGCACUUAAAUGAUGUGAGAACAAAUAAUAAAUUAACAUCACUUGGUUUUCCGCAUGGCAAUUUGAACGACCACUCACCAAUCUCUUGAAACGAAUAGCACAAAAAGGUAUAUGGUUAAGUGUAUCACAAUAUCACUUAAUUUGCCAAUCUCGCACAUAAUAUAUUGUGUCCACUAGACUUGCUUAUUUGCCAGAUAAAGUAGGAUUACACAUGUCACAUCAGCACAUGUAAUCAGCAGUAAAUUCAAAUUAAAUAUAUACGAAGCGACUAAUGAAUUCAAAACAACUGAAUGGCUAUGUACCUGUAAAACAGAGAACAGCGCUGAAAGAACGUAGCUGUGCAGCACCAUCGAGACAUAAAUUGUGCCUACCAUACUGCCAAUAAAUCCCAAAGUAAACGGUAGUCUCUGCACAGAAAAUAAAUUUAAAAAAAAAACAUGAGGGAAACAGCUAUUGAAUAUUGAUACAAAAAAAUAUGCAUAUAUUUUGUGUUUUAAAAACCUAUUCAGAUAAAUUAACACUAACCAAACCAUGUAAAUAACUGAUUAUAUAGACAUAGCCGAGAUACCUCUUUAGACGACAUGUGGGCGAGCUGAUUUCUAGGUCCUUUUAGCGCAAAGAAUGAACCAAUGAUGAAGGCACAUCCAAUAGUGAAACAGAUAGCAAAUUUCUGAGGCAUCAACAUCAUAACAGGGAGAAACAUGGUGAACGCGAUGAAGAUAAAAAAUACCCCUGAAGCAAGGAGUAAACCGAAGUACAAGAGAGAUUUUCCUGAAGGAACGUUAGAUUGGAAGCUUCCGGGUAUAUCCCGCACACCUUUCGAAACCCUGAAAUGAGAAUGUAAAUGAUUAAGAAUAAAAAUAUUAUAUAUUUCUGCAAUUUCACGAGGUGAUCUACAAGUAUCGGCAGUUUACAAUGACAAAGUUGAAACGGUAACCAGGAUCUUCCUCGUCAAAGUUUCUCAACGAAACAGGAGGGAAAUCAGUUUCACAUGUAGUUACAGGGAUUGCCUUUAUUAAUUCACACUUUAGGCAACAAAUGUGAUUCUUGCAAUAAUAAUACCAAGGCAGACCUAUAAUAAAAUGUUUUCCAGCUACUCACGUAUAACACAUUGUUUAAAAUGUUUCAAAAGUUUAUAAUAGCACUACAUGAAACAAUUCAACAUAAAUAUUCAAAAUUUCAGUAAUAAAACACUUACUGACUCAUACAAUGUGUAUACAUAUCUAUGAUGCUUGCUUAAUCAUACGUCGAGUAAUCAUAUCAGUCAUACAUACAAUUAUUGCAAUAAAUCAUCGAACAAUGCACAAAUGUCACCAAAUAUUCAAUUACAAGCAAAGCUGCAAACACAUAAAGUCACUGAAUUACACACAAACAACUCGAAUCAAUGCUCGCCAAUUGAAUCACAUCACCGCUAAAUAGUCAAAGAGAUGCACCGCACUACACAAACCACUGUAACGUAACUGUAUGACAACUGACAGCUAAAACACAUCGCACCUAAACAAUCAAACAGAUGCAAGCCGAGAUACACACACAACACUCUCGGAAUCUAUAAAAAAAAACACUAUCGAAAACGAUGAAUGGAGCAAUAAAUUCACAAACUCGCCCACUCACACUAUUCAAAUCACAAUCAAACAGAUGCAUUGGACUAUAACAUAAGGCGCGAAUACAUACAAUAACUGAAUUACACAUACACAGUGUUGAAAUGCAUACGAACAGAAUCGAAUUGGAAGCGAAAAGACGUACACGUUGAAAGUACCGGAGACUUUGUCGUUGGCGGUUCUGACGGCGGCCUCGAGAUCGAAACCUAGGGCGGAAGGAUCGUCUUCUUCGGGAGCUCGUGUAGAGGCGGCGUAGGCGUUCCAAUCAGCGAGUAGAGAUGGCGUUUGGUUCGGGAGAUCAUCGCCGCUCGCGCUUGGGCCACUGAACCAGGCCUGCGCUGUUUUGUGCAUCGUUUUGUUUGUUUAGGGCCUCUUUGUAUUCGAAUUGUUGGAAAUUUAUCAGCAAUUUAGCAGCAGCAGCUUCGGGUUUUUUUUGAUUUGUUGGGGAUUGGAGAUGAUGAGGACAGGGAGGGAGAUCUGGUGGUUUGCUCUGCCAGGGAGGGUAAAUUGGGGAGUUUAGAUUAGCGGGAUGGGAGUCGCAGCGUCGUGUUUGGUUUAGUUAUAUUUUUUUAUUUUUGGUUUUUGGAUUGGAUUUACCAUUUUAAACCUAAACGGGAUAUUUUAAAAAUAACAAUUAAAACUUAGUUUCAAAAAAAAAACAAUUAAAACUAUUAUGCUUGACUAUAUUAAAUUAUAUAUAAAAAACAGAAAAAUAGCCUAAAAUAAUGAGGAAAAUAUUGUUUACUAUGUUUGUAUAGUCCCUCCGUUCUUAAAUAUCUUUUUUCUGAUUUUUUUGACACGCAUGUUAAAGUGCUUUAAUCAUAUAGUUAAAAAUAUUAUAUUUAAUUUCAUCUCGAAUAAAAAUAUUGUAAGGACCAAUACUAACCCUAUUUAAAACAAAAGAGUACAUCUCAUGAUUCCAGAAAACCCUGGUUCGGUAAACUAAUCUCUGGUGGAGCACGUAUAGCUCAAGCGGUGAGUUCGACUCUGACUCAUCCGAAAAAUAUUAGAACAGAUACUAAUUUGUAACGUAUAUAAGCUUGCAUUGUAAAAAAAAAAAAUCUCUUGCAAGGUGUCUCUCAAUUUAAUUGUAAAAUCUAAUUAAUUACUGUAAAUUUUUUUAAAAUAAUACGUUAAAUACUUAAGCUAAUAUAUUAAAUAUUUAUUAUAUAUUAUAUAAUAUCUUUUUUUAACAACUAGCAAAGAAAGAUUUAAUUUUUAACUUAAUUUAUUAUCAAUCAUCCGACUAAUCCAUAAUUAGCACUUGUACCAAUUAAUUUUGAUUUCCGAUUUUUACGAUCACAAUCUAUAUUAAUAUUGUAUAUAUAUAAAUUCAAUUAUAUAUAUAUAACAUGACAUAGAUUAUACUCCUUCCGUCUCAAUUUAUAGGUUCAUUUUGGAAUAAACACGCAUAUUAAGAAAAAAGUUAGUUAGAUAGAAUCUUAUCUCAUGCAUCAUUAGUUAGUGCAUUGAAAAGUGAGAAUAUAGUUGAGUUUCAAAAAAAUCACAAUAAAUAUAGGGAUUUAGUGCAUUGAGAAAUGAGAAUAAUGUUGAGUUUCAAAAAAGUCACAAUUAAUAUGUAGAUAAAUUUGUAUUGAAAGAAGAGAAUUACAAGUAUUUUGGGACAAAUUUUUUUUGCAAAGUCGACUUAUGAAUUGAGGACGGAGGGAGUAAUACUAUUAUAGUAUAACCUGAUAUUGGAAAACAGAAAACUGGAAAUCCAAACGGGCCCCUAAAUUUUUCUCGAAUUCUUUCGCAAGUUACACAGUUGCAUACACUGCAAAGUGAAGUCGCCGGAGAAAAACAAGAGCAAAUGAAGACAGCUGAAAAAGUUAUACUCCUGUUCGAAGACUCGGAUGGCUUCGCCGCCUCUAUUUCCGACGGUCUCCAACCUAACCCUACCUCUUCUCUCCAAACACUGUAAGUCUCUCUCUCUCUCUCGAGAUCUCUCUCCCUCUCAUAAUAGUUUUUAACGUUGAUAAAUUAUUUGUGCAACAGAAAGGAGUGUGUGGAUCUAUCAUUAGAGCAGUACGGAAUCAAAGAGAAAAUCUCUGUCAAUAUUACUCAUUUUGUUGAUUCAAAUGGCGUUUAUCAGGUACUUCUUAGCAUUAUAAUUUGUUCCGUUAACAAAAAUUUUAAUUAGAGUUAUUUAGUUAUUGUAAUGACUACUGUGAUAUAAUGUAAUUGUUGUGAUAUAAUGUAAUUGUAUUGUUAUAAGGAUAGUUGUUAAUGGCCAGAGCAUGAGCAUUUGUGUGAGAGGGAGAGUCUGCGAUGGAGAUCGCACUUUUAUGAAUCUACUUUUAGGUCAAACAUCUCAGGGAGUAAAUUUAGUAGCAGAUGGGUUGGUGUAUAUAUAUGCUACAGCAUUAGGCAGUAUUUUGAAUUGUUGGAAGAGUGAUGCAACUUCAGAGUUUUGUUUACACAUAAUUGCUCUUGCCAAGGGAAACCGAAACUGUUGAAAGAGAGAGCAUGGAUUUGGCGAUUGUGUGGUGGAUGAUAUCAAGCCACUGCAAUAAAAACUUAAUCCGCUAGUUAUAUGUUUUUUUCAACUCUUCAAGGCUUGCAAUUUUAUAUCUGAAACUUUCAAAUGUUAUUAAAGUUUGUUUUGCUUAAUAAUUAUCUAGUACAUGCCUCUUCUCAUUUCUUUUUAGUUUACUAAUUUACUGUGUUCUUAAUUUUGUAGGACAGGAAAUUGUAGAAAGGACUAUUUAUCACCUAAAUUCCUCUGAAUUCGUAUUUAUUUUGUAGUAGUUUAAUUUGAGACCUUUGAAGUUCACUCACAUGAUAGAUACUAUUCAAAUUUCCGAAUCCGAUUACUUUAGCACAAGUACGUAAUACUUUAAUAACGCGAUCCUCAUGUCAGGUGUCCAUAUUGCUUGUGCAAAAAUGUGAACCUCCAGUUCUUGCAUGUGCUGUCAAUGAAGCUAUAGCCUCGGUAGAUGGUGAAAGUCCGUCAAGCAUGCCUACUCUUAUUAUCCCUUUCCUAUUGCCAGAGUCAAAGCUGAAGCUGGAUGAUAAAAUUUUGUUAAAAAAUGUUAAUGCUGCUCUCCAUGGUAUACACACUGGUCCGGAUACAGAUACUAUUAAAGCCUUGGUCAAUAGAACUCAGAAGCUACCAUCAUCCUUGCAAAUUAAUCAUGAGGCCUUGGCAUGCUCAUUUCAGCUGGCUCGUGUAAUGAAUUUACCUACCUUCCUUCUUGUUGGACCAAGUGAUAAAAGCAAAUCCCAUAAAAGCUAUGAAGAAGAUUUGAAGGUAACGAAUUCAUUAAUAUUUUUUAACCUCGCUUUCAAUGAGCGUAUAUAUGUUGGAUAGAAAACAAUAUGAGCUCAUAUAAGGUUUAUGUUGAUUCAAGGUAAUCUGGACAAUCUCAUAUUGUUGUUUUUUAUCUUUUUGAGUAACUAGUGAUCUUUAUCCACCCCAUCUCCCACUAAGCCUUCAGCAUUGAAGUUGUAUAUUGUGUAGUAGUUGAUGUUAUAGUUGAGUUCUUUUUUACUUUGAUUUUCUACUUAAGAUUUUCUACUAAACUGACCUUCAGAAUAUGGUCUGUGUUUUUCAUUCGCUAACAUUUCUUGUUGUAAUUGCCACAAUACACCACAUACGCAUUACCCUGGUAAGGACAAAUUUGAAUAACCUACUGCAGCUAGCAUCUUUUGUUAACUUGUUUGGGGAGUCCUUGUGCAUAGAUAUUUUGUCUUUUCUAAUAAUAUUGCAGUGAAAGUCAUACUUACUUUCCCUAAUUAACAAAAAUACUUCAGUACACAUACUUUUGGACUAUGUUACCUGGGUAUAAGCACAAAAAUGGGUAACAUGGUUUUAAAUAGUCAUAAAAAAAUUUUGCAUCUUGUUUUUUUUUGAGUAGUGAAGAAAAGGCUUCCUUCUUCGUUCUAUAUUUUUUUGUUCUUAUAAUAGACAUACUUAGAUUAUGAGCAUAGAUUUUUUUUAAUGUAUAUUAUAAUUGAAAAAAAAAGAAAUUAGUAGACCGAACUUUGUUGUCAUUCUAUGAUUGAGUCAAUUAUACUAAUGUUUUGUCGCAGCUGGCCGAGCUGGUUGGCUUUAGUAACGCCAAGCAGGAAGUCAACAGCUGCGCACAUUGAGUACAAUGACAGAAAGCCAGCUCUUGACUGUUUAAGUUUUACAUGGCAAGAUUGAUACUGUUGUACAUCAUCACUUUCUUCUUCUUCUUUUUUUAAAGACAAAUGCUCUGUAUAAAUGAACAGGGUCCAAAAGUGAUAGAAGCCAAUACUAAGUUAUGCUAUAUAUAAGAUUUUAUAUUUUAGUAAAUGUGUAUGAUUGUAGGAGUGAAAUCUAAGUUACCAUACAAAUGUGUUACAUGUGUAGCAACCAGUGUCAAUAGAUGACAAGAUAGCUAGUAAUUUGCAGAGAUCAGAAAAUUAUUACAAAGAUUAGCUAAUUUAAUUAAUCAAACACAUACCGCCUAUGAAACCUUUACAGAAACGAAAAUCUAUAUUUGUGAUGCAUUUUUCGACUAUAUAUAGUGGAACUUUUGUUGUACUUGGGAAUAAGGAAACACUAACUUAUUACUAGAACAUAGCUACUUUAGUAACUAAUACAGUUUGCUCUGUUUUAUUGCACUUAUUCGUCUAAAUGUGUGACUAUGCGUUAAUAAAGCUUUGGGACUUGUUUCUGCAUAAUAUAUUCCUGCCUCGGCAUGUAAAUGGGUGUCCCAAACAAUGCUAUGGGAUUUAUUUAAUGAUGUCUGAUAGCCCUCUUUUACCAAUGACUCAUCUGCUGCAUAUGCAUUGCCUAUUUAUUAAAGUAUAAUAUUUGCCGAGUGUGGAUUCCUCCAGUUACUUGGAGAGCCUGUAGGCCCUGCCUGUAUCAAUGCAUUUUUAAGCACUCAUGUGGCAUAAAUUUCCUGUAAAUGUAUUUGUAUUCCAUUUUUUUCUGGUGUAUGUCUCAGUAUAUGCCAUUUGAUCUCUAUGGAAACUUUUCUAGGUACUUUGUGAGAUAGGAGAGGUUUUAGCAAGUUUAUCAUCCUUGUGCUUCGUGAAAGAGAAGAUAACUUGGACUCCGACUAAGACAUCAAGAGAGAGCAUGGAGCCCUGGCGUGCGUUGUAUAAUUAAGAUUAAGAUGUGUUUUUUAGCAUGAUAAGUAGAUUGCAAUAGUAACAAACAAUUGAUCUUGUUUCAACAAUAGUUAAGUCUGACUCUCCCAGCAGUUAUCUGCAGAAAACAGUAAUUAGAUCAGGGGCAGCCAUGCCUUCGGAUACAAUAUGAUUUCUCUUUUAUAUAUUUGCUUUAGCUAUCAUCUUUUUUUUUCCCGUCUGAAUUUUAUUUUGAUCUGACUUCAUUAGUUCAUUGUGAUUCUUGAAAUUUGUCGGAAUUAUGAGAAGGAAUGCUCUUAUAAUUUCCUAGAUCCCAUCCUGUGUAGUUGUGUAUUAUACAGUUUAGGAAAAUUUAUGAUCUUUACGGGGGUGUCUUGCAUAAUGUCGUGAAUGUCUUGGUGCUUACUCCUUGCCAGUACCGAUCUGCAGAUUGUUUACAUGUACCCCAUCUGUAGAUAUGCUGGAGACGUUUUAUUUUUUUCCCUUCAGCAUUGGUUGGCGGUUGCCAGAUCCCUCCUGAAUAUACUGCCAGGUUUAUCUUUUUAACCGCAAGCAAACUGGUGCAGUUAAUUUAUGUUUUUACAAUUGUAUAUUGUAAACUGAAUUUUUUUUUUUAAAAAAAGUUUAAGUACUUAUUUUCGGUUUGACUUGUCUUAUUUUCAGGAAUAAAUUUUAUUUUAACAAAAUAUAUAAAUAUUUUUUGAAAAUAAUAACUUGUUUUUGUAAAAUAAAAAUGCUAGAGAGCUCUAAAUUCUUAUCUUGUUUUAAAAUCAUAUACGUAUAUACUCCUUCUGUUUUUUUUAUGUGACGCUUUGUGAUGUGCUAGAAAUAGUACCUUUAAAUCGCAAGCGCACGAUCACCGUUUUAAUAUAAUUAGAUUCGUCCACAGAGAUUAAAAAUAUUUUCGCAAAUCUUUACUUAAAACCUAGGCGGAAUAGAACAAUUAAUUUGGAAUUUUGAGGAUAUAUUUUUUACAAAUUCAAGAAUUAAGAAGUAAAAUUAAUUUGAAAAACAUCUAGUAUGAAAUCCUUGGAAAAAGAAAACAAAGUGAAGUUUCAAAUUUCAUUUAUAAAUUAAGUAUACAAUGCAGCAUAAUUCGUUUUGAAAACAAAAUGCACCCAAAAGAAGUCAACGAAGAUUAUGACUAAAAGAAAACUAAUACUAGCAAAUAAAUCGGCUGUGCCUCCACUCAAACACCAAUAAUAAACAUACUUUCGUUUAUUAAACAACACCACGAUUAAUCAGUAAAAACACCACUUCAACAACUCACAGUAUUCAGCAAUCAUAUUAAAAUAGCUUGCUCUAAAACGGAACGAAACAGCAUGGCAAAUGUGACUCGAUGACUCAGUAACAAACAUGAACUCGGCCGUGACUCAGGACAGACCCAGUCGACUCAGUACUCGACGAAAUCGAACUCAAACCAACAAAACUACAAAACCCAGCAUAAUCAAACUUAACUCAGCAAAGAAAACAGAGCAUGGCGACACAGACCUGACUCAAAUGCAGCGGCCAGACUCGACAAAACUCGUAAACAGAGCAAGAUUCAGCAGUUUAAAACUCGGAACAAACUCGACUCAGAACAGACUAAACGCAACAACUCUGUAAAAACGACAAAACAGGACUCGGCGACUCAGUAAAUCGCAGCAAACAAAACCCAACAGAACAGAACUAACAACAAAAACGAAGCAAAAAGGACUAAACUCGGUAAAGGACAGCAACGAAAUCGGCCAAGUGACUCAGCACAAAGACCCAACUCGGAUUCAUCGACAACAGGGGAACUCGUACACGACCCAUCAAAAGAAAGAAAAACGCAGCAAAGAUGGGGAGUCGGCGACAAUAGAAAACAGCAAAUAAGACAACGAAACUUCGGAAAGCAAAAUCUGCAAACUAACGACUCGGUGUAAACUUGUGGUUACACAGUAUUUAAUUCGGUGGAAGUAAAAGAAAAAUGGUGUUGGUUUUUAGAAAGAAGACAGAGCAUGAGUAUGUUUUUGUUUUAAUACAUGAUGAUUAAAGAAAACUAAUCUGAUUAAAUCUAUAGAAAAGUGGUUGCUACAUGUUUUAAAAGAAAAUUCACUGCCGAAUUAAAGUAACUUGUAACAUUAAAAUUUAAAGUCAAACCCCCACACAAAUCAUUUUUGUGCUAGAGUUUUAACGACUAAUCUAGGCAAUCAUAAAAUCUACACUAAUUAGGAGGCUUCUCCCAUUCCCAAAAGCCCUUAAGCAUAUGGUGGUACUAAGGAGAAUAUGCCACUUGGAGCAAGAAAAAUAGAGACAAUACAAGAUUAAGCUAAAAGAAGAUUUGCACUAAAAUAAAAGUGUUUACAAAUGUGGUAUGAAAAUGAGAGAACAAAAGAAGAUCUAGCACUAUACUACCUACUAACUAGGAAAAAACUAGGUUAAAAAAAUUGUGAUUACAAGUAAAGGGGGUGGGGGUAUUUAUAGCUAGAAAUGUAGGGUUUAGGGGUAGGGUGGCUAAAUCUAAUCCAUCCAUGUGUGAUGUGUGUUGGGUAGAUCAUAGCCCUCCAUGUGCCCCUUAGUUGCCAACUCUCUUUAUUUCUUCUUUUCUUUUCCUUUUCUCCAUUUUCUUGCAUUUUCUCUUCUUUCUUUAUUUAUCUACAAUUUCCUGAAAUAAAAUAAAUAAGCGAUUAAUACUACGAAAAUAAACAAAAAAUAGGCACUUAAAUAUGCAAAAAUAUGGACUAAUCAAACUUCCCCAUACCUAUCUUUUGCUCGUCCUCGAGUAAAAAUCAAAAGAAAAGAAAAUAAACUAAGAAAACUAGAUGCGAUUCCUAGGCUCCUUUUCGUAGGCGUGACGGGUGAUUUUAGGUUCACCAACCCGUUAAACUCGUAGACGAUCUCUACAAGAGGAGUUUUGUCUCCUAAGGGUUUACAGAAGAUAUACCCAUAAAAUCUUCGAGACAUUCUAGCAAGUGUCUACUCGACUCGACUCUUAUUUCGUUGGUGUUAACAAAAAGCGUUUUUUAAAGAAAAUACGACUCAAAGACUCUUUUACUAAUAAUCAAGAUACAGUUGUCUCUAAUCUACUUGAAUCGACACAAAAAAAAAUUUACUAGAAAUCCAAGGUGUGUAAUGAAUUUAAGGCCUUUGAUGGAUCCUAAUCAUCUAAGAACAUUUUCUCUUUUUCAACCAAUUUUGAACUGACCCAAUCUCUAUCGAAACAAAUAUCUAGCCAAACUUCACAAACUCUUAUUCCUUUCUUUUUUUCUUUUUCUUUUUUCUUCUUUUUUUUUUUUUUUUUUUUUUUUUUUUUUUUUUUUUNNNNNNNNNNNNUAGCGAGCUUUGGGUCAGUGACUCCAAACCAAACGGUCUUAGGGCACUAGGUUUUGAAAUCCCCCUACGGACUUAAUUGCUCGAGUAACAAAGGCCACAAAACGAGACUAGCCAAUCUACUUUUGCCCAUUUAUCUAAAGAUUUUAUCGAUAAAGAACAAUGGGUAUUGAAGUAGUUAUUCCUUUUCUUCCUUUUUUUUUUCUAUCUUUUUUUAUCUCUUUUUUUUUUAUUCGCAAAGGUUCGAUUCGACAUUGUUUCAACAUGUGGGUUCUCUCUCAGGUAUCGAAUAAUAUCACUAGACAAUCUCUCCAUCAAAGGUCUUGUGCAAAUGUGUGUGCCAUCUUGGAAUUACGAGUACAAAUCGGUCGAUACAAGUUUCAAAAAGACAACCUUACUCAACUACGUUCAAAUUAUCUAAAAGACACUACAUAUAUAUACUUUUCGAAAACAUGCUAAACACCAACUACUCCUAAAGUUCGAGUGAAGGAAAGACAACUUAGCUAAAAGUGUCUCUAUUUUUGGAUUUUCUAAUUUUUCAUUUUUUUAGGAUUUUCAUUUUUUAGAAUUACACUAAAGCCCUCCCCAUACCUAAAUCAUGCAUUGUCCUCAAUGUAUGCAAAAGAGAGAAUUAAAAUGAGAGAGUAAAGAGGAAAAUUUAUUAACGAACGAAACACUAACACGACCCACACACUCACACAUUUCUUUCCCCAUACCUGAACUUCAUGAGGGAAGGCUCUGAGAAAGAAGCAAAUCAGCCAAUUCCGGAAGGAAAGAUGGGAGGAAGCUUCGAGAAAGAGUCAAAAUGUGUUCGAAAAUUUUUAGGCACAAAAACUUUCUCUAGCAUAUGACCAUCGUUCAUCCCUAUAGGACAAGUAUUACUAACAUUCUCCCUAAACCAACUUAAUGCUUCUUUAUUAUCAAGCAAAUUAGAGACUAUGAAAUCUUGGUUAAGGGACAAAUCACUAGGAACGAUGUAAGAAAUGAUGUCAUCCUCCCCUAAAGCUCUAUGUGAAUGAGGGAACAAUGAGUCAAAUGUUGGUGUUUCCCCAACAUGACUCGCAAAAUCGGGCCUAGGGUCAACACGAACAAUCUCGGGCGGAGUUUCCCAUUUUGAACAAAUGUCGUUUAAUUCUCCUAACAACUCCUCCGAGGUCAACUCUUUCAACGACUCAUGAUAUUCCCUAUUGUUCUCGUUGUUGACUUUGAAAUCCUCGUUGAGAAGAGACUCAAUCUCACUAUCCUCAAAACUAGACCAUGUGACAAACUUGUUGACCACAUUAACCCCUAUAGGUUGCUCAUAAAGCUCAUUGGGUUCUUUUCCUACGUUAAACAUGUUUAAAUCAAUGGUCAUGUUUCCAAAUGUGAGCUUCAUAGAACCAUUCCGACAAUUGAUUAAGGCAUUGGAUGUAGCAAGAAAAGGUCGUCCUAAAAUUAUAGGAAUUUGGUUCUUCGGAUUCGAGACGGGUUGAGUCUCGAGAACAACAAAGUCCACGGGAAAGAUAAAAUCACCUAUUUUGAUCAAAACGUCCUCAAUAAUCCCCUUUGGCAUUUUAAUGGAACGAUCGGCAAGUUGAAGGGUCAUAUUGGUGGACUUGAGAUCCCCUAAACCUAGGGCUUGAUAGACCGAGAAAGGAAGAAGAUUCACACUCGCUCCUAAAUCAAGUAAAGCUUUAUCCACAAAAGUAUUGCCUAUGACACAAGAAAUUGUAGGACAACCGGGGUCCUUAUAUUUCACGGGAAUUUGAUUCGAGAGAAUCGAGCUUACUUGAGAGGUCAAAAAGGCUUUCUUAGGAACAUGAGUGGUUCUCUUAUGGGUACACAAAUCUUUUAGACACUUAGCAUAAGAAGGAACUUGUUGAAUGGCAUCUAAAAGAGGAAUGUUUAUCUUGACUUGUUUGAAAACCUCUAGAAUUUGUUCCAUUUGGGCCGAUUGUUUAGGGCGAAUGAGUCUUUGUGGGUAAGGAACCUUUGGCUUAUAAACUUCUUCGUUGGGCUUUUGAGAAAUGGGCCCAGGACUAGGUUCACUCAUAGACUCACGGACUCUAGAACAUUCGGGCUUAUCCGGAAUAAGAUUCGACAAAGAAAGAUUUGGUUCAGGAAUCGACUCGAUUUGCUCCAUUUGGGCCGAUUGUUUAGGAGGAAUGAGUCUUUGUGGGUAAGGAACCCUUGGCUUAUAAACUUCUUCAUUGGGCUUUUGAGAAAUGGGCCCGGGACUAGGUUCACUCAUAUACUCACGGGCUUUUGAACAUUCGGGCUUAUCAUGAUUAGUGCUAGACAAAGAAGGAUUUUGUUUAGGAAUCGACUCCUCAUUUUCAUUCACGUUCUCACCAACUUUGUUAUCCACUUGGUUUCCCGACCUUAGAGAGAUAAUUGCAUUAACAUUCUCGGGAGGUCUUUGAUUGAGAGGAAACUUAGGAUUGACCUCGGGUUGACUUGGAAUUUGUUUUUCUCGCGCUCACACAACGUGCUAGCUAAUUGACUCAAUUGGGCCUCUAACUUAGAAACGGCUUGCACGUUAGAAUGCAAGAUUUGCCUAUCUUGGGUUAGGGUUGUCAUGAAAGUUUGUUGUGAUUGGGUCAAAUUAGUUUGCGAUUUCACUAAGGCUUCCAAACUCUUUUCUAAGGAAUUGAGGCGUUUAUCCGAAUCAUUGAAACCGGGAGGAUUCAAAGGAGUUUGAAUUGGGUUAUGACAUGAAUUUGGACCUUGAUUUGGGUAAGAGUUUGGGUUGGGCCUUUGUUGAAAAUUUGGUUGAGGAGUUGGAAAAGAAUUUGGCCCUUGAUUUUGAAAAAUUUGACCUUGGGUCCAUGAGAAAUUUGGGUGAUUUCUCCACCCGGGAUUAUAAGUGGGUGCAAACGCAUCAUUCCUAGGAUUUUGAAACAUCGCAUUUACUUGUUCAAGUUCGUGCGAAGGUUGGGUUCCGGGAUUUUGAAAAUUGUAAUUAGGGAGCAUCGACAUUUGUGGGGGAGAUUUACUAGUUUCUAAAGCUUCAAGUCUCCUAGUUAGGGUGGCUAGUUUGGCAUCGGUUGCCACAUUAUUUCCUAUCGAAUGCAAGCCCCUAGCGCUAGAUGACUGAAUUGACUUUUUGGGCUCCCUAGUUGACUCCCACAUCAUAGUCUUUUCCGCUAAAUCCUCGAAAAAUUCCCACCCUUGAUCCUCAUCUUUUUCCAUGAAUUUACCUUGGCACAUAGACUCUAAUAACGCGGUGGUUUGACUAUCUAAGGCCUCGUAAACUAUCUUGCAAAGUCUCCAUUUUUCUAUUCCGUGGUGGGGGCAUUGUGAGAGAAGAUUUUUGAAGCGGUCAAAGAAAAUCCAAAAAGACUCAUUUUCCUUUUGAUGAAAUUGAUUUAUUUCAUUUGUAAUUCGAGUAGUCUUAUGAUUUGGAAAAUACUUUUUAAGAAACACCACAACGAACCCCUCCCACGUGGAAAUAGAAUUAACGGGAAGACUAUAUAACCAUUUUUUCGCAUUCUCCUUAAGCGCAAAAUUAAUGAGCCUAAGUCUAAUCGAAUCUUCCGUUAAUUGGUGGAGCUUUUGGAGGGAACAAACUUCCUCGAACUCUUGGAUAAAAAGAUAAGGAUCCUCACCCUCACUCCCGGUAAAUUUAGGUAACAUGCUAAUGUGGUGAGCUUUGAUUUCAAAAUUGUUCCCAUUAACGGGAGGAAGGGUGAUGCACGAAGGUUGACUUGAACGAGAUGGAUAACAACGAUCCUUGAGUGAAAGGGCCAUGUUUACUAUCGGUUCUAGAACUUCUAGGGUUUCGGAAUCCGAAGAGGACGAGGGAAUCUCGAUUAUAGGUCUUACUAAUCUAGACGAUUCGUUCCUAACCCAAGUAGUUCGCAUAAACUAGAUAGUAAACACGUAGCAAGUAAGUGCGAAAAAUUAAAACACACAAAAGAAAGGGUGUAAAAGAGAAAGAAAAACCUAAAUCUAGGGUUCCCUAAAAAAAAUGAACUAGACCUUGCUCCUAACGUUAAGGACCACCAAAAACUCGAUAAAUCCAAAAUUAUUCGGACCGGUUUGGCCAGUUUGGAGCAGGCAUUGCCAAGAGGCCAAUCUCCGCGCUUAGACACCAAACCUUAAUCGGCCAGGUAAGCUUUCGCUUGCCUUAGACACCGAAAAGUCGGAAUAAUUAAAGAUUACCUCGUCUUUUAGGUACCUUCCUAGUUGAGCGCGAAAUCCUAGGGGCUAACGUCUAAUUCAAUUUUAUUAAAAGGCUAGGGAAUGCAAAAUGAAGAAUUAAGUCGUUGUGGGCCAAGGAAAGAGUGAUGAAAUCCCUCCCCUUAUCUUGUGAUUGGGUUUUGCCCUUAAGAUUUAUUUAAAAUGAUGCACCACACAACGAUAUAAUAAAAGCGGUAAACAAAUAGGGAUGAAUUAAACUACGUGUCCUAAUCUAGAGAAAAGAAAGAAAUUAACGCACCUUAGGGUCCUCCAGCGAUCACCACAAAUAGGUACGAAAAUUUAAAAACAAAAAGUAAAAUCUAAAUGAUGUGCNNNNNNNNNNNNNNNNNNNNNNNNNNNNNNNNNNNNNNNNNNNNNNNNNNNNNNNNNNNNNNNNNNNNNNNNNNNNNNNNNNNNNNNNNNNNNNNNNNNNNNNNNNNNNNNNNNNNNNGAAUACUCUUCCUCGAAAUAAAAACAAAAAGUGAGAAAACAAACUAAUCCGAAAGAUUAAAAAUGAAGGUGCGAAAAAUUAAUUAUAAUCCCCGGCAGCGGCGCCAAAAACUUGAUGUGCUAGAAAUAGUACCUUUAAAUCGCAAGCGCACGAUCACCGUUUUAAUAUAAUUAGAUUCGUCCACAGAGAUUAAAAAUAUUUUCGCAAAUCUUUACUUAAAACCUAGGCGGAAUAGAACAAUUAAUUUGGAAUUUUGAGGAUAUAUUUUUUACAAAUUCAAGAAUUAAGAAGUAAAAUUAAUUUGAAAAACAUCUAGUAUGAAAUCCUUGGAAAAAGAAAACAAAGUGAAGUUUCAAAUUUCAUUUAUAAAUUAAGUAUACAAUGCAGCAUAAUUCGUUUUGAAAACAAAAUGCACCCAAAAGAAGUCAACGAAGAUUAUGACUAAAAGAAAACUAAUACUAGCAAAUAAAUCGGCUGUGCCUCCACUCAAACACCAAUAAUAAACAUACUUUCGUUUAUUAAACAACACCACGAUUAAUCAGUAAAAACACCACUUCAACAACUCACAGUAUUCAGCAAUCAUAUUAAAAUAGCUUGCUCUAAAACGGAACGAAACAGCAUGGCAAAUGUGACUCGAUGACUCAGUAACAAACAUGAACUCGGCCGUGACUCAGGACAGACCCAGUCGACUCAGUACUCGACGAAAUCGAACUCAAACCAACAAAACUACAAAACCCAGCAUAAUCAAACUUAACUCAGCAAAGAAAACAGAGCAUGGCGACACAGACCUGACUCAAAUGCAGCGGCCAGACUCGACAAAACUCGUAAACAGAGCAAGAUUCAGCAGUUUAAAACUCGGAACAAACUCGACUCAGAACAGACUAAACGCAACAACUCUGUAAAAACGACAAAACAGGACUCGGCGACUCAGUAAAUCGCAGCAAACAAAACCCAACAGAACAGAACUAACAACAAAAACGAAGCAAAAAGGACUAAACUCGGUAAAGGACAGCAACGAAAUCGGCCAAGUGACUCAGCACAAAGACCCAACUCGGAUUCAUCGACAACAGGGGAACUCGUACACGACCCAUCAAAAGAAAGAAAAACGCAGCAAAGAUGGGGAGUCGGCGACAAUAGAAAACAGCAAAUAAGACAACGAAACUUCGGAAAGCAAAAUCUGCAAACUAACGACUCGGUGUAAACUUGUGGUUACACAGUAUUUAAUUCGGUGGAAGUAAAAGAAAAAUGGUGUUGGUUUUUAGAAAGAAGACAGAGCAUGAGUAUGUUUUUGUUUUAAUACAUGAUGAUUAAAGAAAACUAAUCUGAUUAAAUCUAUAGAAAAGUGGUUGCUACAUGUUUUAAAAGAAAAUUCACUGCCGAAUUAAAGUAACUUGUAACAUUAAAAUUUAAAGUCAAACCCCCACACAAAUCAUUUUUGUGCUAGAGUUUUAACGACUAAUCUAGGCAAUCAUAAAAUCUACACUAAUUAGGAGGCUUCUCCCAUUCCCAAAAGCCCUUAAGCAUAUGGUGGUACUAAGGAGAAUAUGCCACUUGGAGCAAGAAAAAUAGAGACAAUACAAGAUUAAGCUAAAAGAAGAUUUGCACUAAAAUAAAAGUGUUUACAAAUGUGGUAUGAAAAUGAGAGAACAAAAGAAGAUCUAGCACUAUACUACCUACUAACUAGGAAAAAACUAGGUUAAAAAAAUUGUGAUUACAAGUAAAGGGGGUGGGGGUAUUUAUAGCUAGAAAUGUAGGGUUUAGGGGUAGGGUGGCUAAAUCUAAUCCAUCCAUGUGUGAUGUGUGUUGGGUAGAUCAUAGCCCUCCAUGUGCCCCUUAGUUGCCAACUCUCUUUAUUUCUUCUUUUCUUUUCCUUUUCUCCAUUUUCUUGCAUUUUCUCUUCUUUCUUUAUUUAUCUACAAUUUCCUGAAAUAAAAUAAAUAAGCGAUUAAUACUACGAAAAUAAACAAAAAAUAGGCACUUAAAUUUGCAAAAAUAUGGACUAAUCAC